RNAcentral lists this long non-coding RNA (80156 nucleotides) under Triticum aestivum (bread wheat). Its description in RNAcentral is "long non-coding RNA (TAES_LNC008245)". Lineage: Eukaryota; Viridiplantae; Streptophyta; Magnoliopsida; Poales; Poaceae. The record is from RNAcentral.
UUUUUUUUAUGUGUGAGAGGGUGAAGCAAAAAUAAACCGAUGAAGUGGGGGGAGGGGACGAAAAAAAAUCUACGAAAAAAACCAGCGAAGGUGGGAGGAGGUACCAAAAAAAACCAUGGUAGGUGGGACGAAAAAAAACCUGGAAGCGAGACUACCAACUGCUCCAUCAGGAGUAGAGAUUGCUUGCAAGGCUUAUAGUGAUGUGCAUUACCGAGAGGGCCCAGAGAUACCUCUCCGACAAUCGGAGUGACAAAUCCUAAUCUCGAAAUACGCCAACCCAACAUGUACCUUUGGGGACAUCUGUAGUACUCCUUUAUAAUCACCCAGUUACGUUGUGACGUUUGGUAGCACCCAAAGUGUUCCUCCGGUAAACGGGAGUUGCAUAAUCUCAUAGUCAUAGGAACAUGUAUAAGUCAUGAAGAAAGCAAUAGCAACAUACUAAAUGAUCAAGUGCUAAGCUAACGGAAUGGGUCAAGUCAAUCACAUCAUUCUUCCAAUGAUGUGAUCCCGUUAAUCAAAUGACAACUCUUUUGUCCAUGGCUAGGAAACAUAACCAUCUUUGAUAAACGAGCUAGUCAAGUAGAGGCAUACUAGUGACACUAUGUUUGUCUAUGUAUUCACACAUGUAUUAUGUUUCCGGUUAAUACAAUUCUAGCAUGAAUAAUAAACAUUUAUCAUGAUAUAAGGAAAUAAAUAAUAACUUUAUUAUUGCCUCUAGGGCAUAUUUCCUUCACCAGGACCCUUCCGGUGGUCCCGGUAUAAUACCGGUGACCCCCAAAACUUUCCCGGUGGCCGAAAUUGGACUUCCUAUAUACAAACCUUUACCUCCGGACCAUUCUAGAGCUCCUUCUCACGUACGGGAUCUCAUCCGAGACUCCGAACAACCUUCAGUAACCACAUACUAUUUCCCAUAACAACUCUAGCGUCACCGAACCUUAAGUGUGUAGACCCUACGGGUUCGGGAACCAUGCAGACAUGACCGAGACGUUCUCCGGCCAAUAACCAACAGCGGGAUCUGGAUACCCAUGUUGGGUCCCACAUGUACCACGAUGAUCUCAUCGGAUGAACCACAAUGUCAAGGAUUCAAUCAAUCUCGUAUACAAUUCCCUUUGUCAAUCGGUAUGUUACUUGCCCGAGAUUUGAUCGUCGGUAUCCCAAUACCUCGUUCAAUCUCGUUAAUGACAAGUCACUUUACUCGUUCCGCAAUGCAUGAUCUCAUGACUAACUACUUAGUCACAUUGAGCUCAUUAUGAUGAUGCAAUACCGAGUGGGCCCAGAGAUACCUCUCUGUCAUACGGAGUGACAAAUCGCAGUCUCGAUUCGUGCCAACCCAACAGACACUUCCGGAGAUACAUGUAGUGCACCUUUAUAGCCACCCAGUUACGUUGUGAUGUUUGGUACACCCAGAGCAUUCCUACGGUAUCCGGGAGUUGCACAAUCUCAUGGUCUAAGGAAAUGAUACUUGACAUUAGAAAAGCUUUAGCAAACAAACUACACGAUCUUGUGCUAUGCUUAGGAUUGGGUCUUGUCCAUCACAUCAUUCUGCUAAUGAUGUGAUCCCGUUAUCAAUGACAUCCAAUGUCCAUGGUCAGGAAACCAUAACCAUCUAUUGAUCAACGAGCUAGUCAACUAGAGGCUCACUAGGGACAUGUUGUGGUCUAUGUAUUCAGACAUGUAUUACGGUUUCCAGUUAAUACAAUUAUAGCAUGAAUAAUAGACAAUUAUCAUGAACAAGUAAAUACAAUAAUAACCAUUUUAUUAUUGCCUGUAGGGCAUAUUUCCAAUAGUCUCCCACUUGCACUAGAGUCAAUAAUCUAGUUCACAUCACUAUGUGAUUGUAAUGAAUUCAACACCCAUGGGGUUUGAUCAUAUCUCGCUUGUGAGAGAGGUUAUUAGUCAACGAGUCUGAACCUUUCAGAUCCGUGUGUGCUAUACAAAUCUCUAUGUCAUCUUGUAGAUGCAGCUACCAUGCUCUAUUUGGAGCUAUUCCAAAUAACUGUUCUACUAUACGAAUCCGGUUUACUACUCAGAAUCAUCCAAAUUAGUGUCAAACUUUGCAUCGGCGUAACCCUUUACGACGAACUCUUUUACCACCUCCAUAAUCGAGAAAAUUCCUUAGUCCGCUAGUUACUAAGGAUAACCUUGACCGUUGUCCUGUGAUCCAUUCCUGGAUCACACUUGUACCCCUUGACUAACUCAUGGCAAGGCACACUUCAGGUGCGGUACACAACAUAGCAUAUUGUAGAGCCUAUGUCUAAAGCAUAGGGGACGACCUUUGUCCUUUCUCUCUCUUCUGCCGUGGUCAGGUCUUGAGACUUACUCAAUGCUCACACCUUACAACAUAGCCAAGAACUCCUUCUUUGCCUAUCUAUUUUAAACUCCUUCAAAAUCUUGUCACGAUAUGUAUUCAUUUGAAAGUACUAUUAAGCAUUUUGAUCUAUCCUUAUAGAUCUUGAUGCUCAAUGUUCAAGUAGCUUAAUCCAGGUUUUCCAUUGAAAAACACUUUCAAAUAACCCUAUAUGCUUUCCAGAAACUCUACGUCAUUUCUGAUCAACAAUAUGUCAACAACAUAUACUCAUCAGAAAUUCUAUAGUUCUCCCACUCACUUCUUUGGAAAUACAAGUUUCUCAUAAACUUUGUAUAAACCCAAAAUCUUUGAUCAUCUCAUCAAAGUGUAUAUUCCAACUCCGAGAUGCUUACUCCAGUUCCUAGAAGGAUUGCUGGAGCUUUGCAUACUUGUUAGCAUCUUAUAGGAUUGACAAAACAUUCCGGUUGUAUCAUAUACAACCUUUCCUCAAGAAAAUCGUCAAGGAAACAAUGUUUUGACAUCCUAUCUACAAGAUUUCAUAAAUAAUUUAUUAACUGCUAAUAUAAUUCCAACAGACUCUUAGCAUCGCUACGAGUGAGAAAGUCUCAUCGUAGUCAACUCCUUGAACUUGUCGGAAAACAUCUUAGCUACGAGUCGAGCUUUCUUAAUGGUGACACUUACCAUCAUUGUCCGUCUUCCAUUUUAAAAUCCAUCUGUACUCAACAGCCUUACGACCAUCGAGUAGUUCUUCCAAAGUCAAUACUUUGUUUUCAUACAUGGAUCCUCUCUUGGAUUUUAUGGCCUUGAGCCAUUUGUCGGAAUCCGGGCCCACCAUCGCUUCUCCACAACUCGCAGGUUCAUUGUUGUCUAGCAACAUGACCUCCAAGACAGGAUUACGUACCACUCUGAAGUCGUACGCAUCCUUGUUGACCUACGAGGUUUGGUAGUGACUUGAUCCAAAGUUUCAUGAUCUCUAUCAUCAGCUUCCACUUCAACUGGUGUAGGCGCCACAAGAACAACUUCCUGUGCCCUACUACACACUAGUUGAAGUGACGGUUCAAUAACCUCAUCAAGUCUCCACGAUCCUCCCACUCAAUUCUUUCGAGAGAAACUUUUCCUUGAGAAAGGACCCAUUUUAGAAACAAUCACUUUUGCUUCUGGGUCUGAAAUAGGAGGUAUGCCCAACUCUUUUGGGUGACCUAUGAAGAUGCAUUUAUCCGUUUUGGGUUCGAGCUUACUAGGAUGAAACUUUUUCACAUAAGCGUCGCAGCCCCAAACUUUCAAGAAAUGGCAGCUUAGGUUUCUUUAAACCAUAGUUCACACGGUGUUAUCUCAACAGAAUUACAUGGUGCCCUAUUAAAGUGAAUGCAGUUGUCUCUUAUGCCUAACCCAUAAACGAUAGUGGUAAUUCGAUAAGAGACAUCAUGGUAUGCCCCAUAUCCAAUAGGGUGCAUCUAUGAUAUUCGGACACACCAUAACACUAUGAUGUUCCAGGCGGUAUUAGUUGUGAAACAAUUUCCACAAUGUCUUAAUUGUGUACCAAACACACAACUCAGAUAUUCAUCUCUAUGAUCAUAUCAUAGACAUUUUAUCCUUUUGUCACGACGAUCUUCAACUUCACUCUGAAAUUACUUGAACCUUUCAAUAAUUCAGACUUUUGUUUCAUCAAGUAAAUACACUCAGCAUCUACUCAAAUCAUCUGUGAAGUAAGAACAUAACGAUAUCCACUGCGUGCCUCGGCACUCAUUAGACUUAACACAUCAAAAUGUAUUACUUCCAACAAGUUGCUUUCUUGUUCCAUCUCACUGAAAACGAGGCCUUUCAGUCAUCUUGCCCAUGUGGUAUGAUUUGCAUGUAUCAAGUGAUUCAAAAUCAAGUGAGUCCAAAAGAUCCAUCUGUAUGGAGUUUCUUCAUGCGUACAUACCAAUAGACAUGGUUCGCAUGUCUCAAACUUUUCAAAAACGAGUGAGUCCAAAGAUCCAUCAACAUGGAGCUUCUUCAUGUGUUUUAUACCAAUAUGACUUACAUGGCAGUGCCACAAGUAGGUGGUACUAUUGAGGGAGUCCUGGAUAAGGGGGUAUCCGGACAGCCGGACUGUACACAUCGUCCGGACUAUAGAAGCGUCAAGGUACAAGACUCAAGACUUCGGCUCAUGUCCGUAUGGGACUCUCCUUUGUGUGGAAGACAAGCUUGGCGAUCCGGAUAUUAUAUUUCCUUCCUUGUAACCGACUCCAUGUAAACCCUAGCUCUCCGGUGUCUAUAUAAACCGGAGAGGAUGGUCCUUAGAAGGCCGAUCACAAUUACAAUCAUACCAUCAUAGGCUAGCUCUUAGGGUUUAGCCUCUACGAUCUCGUGGUAGAUCUACUCCUGUACUACUCAUAUCUUCAAUAUUAAUCAAGCAGGAAGUAGGGUUUUACCUCCAUCGAGAGGGCCCGAACUUGGGUAAACAUUGUGUCCCUUGCUUCCUGUUACCAUCAGCCUAAGACGCACAGAUCGGGACCCCCUACCCGAGAUCCGCCGGUUUUGACACCGACAUUGGUGCUUUCAUUGAGAGUUCCUCUGUGUCGUCGCUGCAAAGGCUCGAUGGCUCAUCUCGUUGUCAAGGACGACAUCACUUCUGGGGGAGCGCUGGCUGUAGGCCAGACUCUCCGGCUUGGCGGCCUCAUUAUGACCGCCCCAUCGACUGUCGCGCCAACGAUGGCCUCUCGGGUCAUCACGCAUAACCUUCGCAUCAAUUCGGAGCUUGCCGAAAUGAUGGAUCCGAUUGAGUUCUCCUCCCUUAAUGAGCUCUUGGAUCGCAUCUCCGCUUUGGGAGUCGCUAUGGACUAUGACCAGAUUGGGCUUAAACCCGACCAAAGCGACAUUAGAUCCCCGCCGGCCACCCAUGAGAUAGCGGUAGUGGAGGAACCACACGUGGAUUGCCCCUCAACUUUGAGGACGAAUUAUGUCCGGAUCACCGAACUCAGUGAGCCGAACACCCACCCAAAAGAAGACAUGGCCCAGGUCCCGGACUUAGAAUCGAGCGUUGGGCCGAAGGGAUUAGGUAAUACUCCAGAUCCCAAACUGUCAGGCUCGGAACUUCCCGUGCCCCCGGGCGUCAGAUCGGAUCAGAAUCCGUAUUCAGCCAACAACGCUCGCUCGGACUUAAACCGUCUCUCUCGUAUCAGGCAGGAGCCCCAGGAGACGGUACAUCGUUACUGGGCCAGAUUCCUCCUUGCUCUUAACAAGGUCAAGGACUGCCACAAGGAGGAUGUAGUCUCUCUUUUCUGCAGAAACUGCACGAACAAAGGACUCCUUAAUGCUAUAAGUCGAUGUGACAUAGGACACUUUACGGACUUAGCAACCAUAGUACAGAAGUACUUUGUGAUGGAAAGCGCUUGGAAGACCCAAACAGAAUUUUGGGAUAGUACGGCCCUCACCAGAACCUUUGUCCGAACUAAACGGCCGAACUCUCGUAUGUCGACCGAUUCAAUUCCCAAGAAACCAAAGCCCGCCCCAGGGCGUGGAACCGUAUUGGAAGGAUGGCUCAAUGGGCCAUGUAAGUUCCACAGUACGUCGGACGCAAUACCAACCCAUAACCUUAGGGCAUGUUGGAUACUUCGGCAGGUAGCAAAAAGUGGCGAGGAUCUCCUCGAGUGCCACAAAGUAGAACAACAUCCCGCCAAGGAACACAAUACGGUACUAACGGUCUUCGAGACCUUCGCCUCAAACAAUAGGCGUAAGCGAGCUCAUCGAAGCUCCACUGAAAUCUGCCAUGUGGCAAAAAUAAAUCCGUGGAACGACACUACUAUAACUUCCAAUGCAAGUGACGAACCCCAAUUCCAGUCCAUCCAGGCACCAGCCGCUCUAGUCCUUAGCCCAAUAGUGGACGGUUUUCGACUCACUAAAGUACUCAUGGACGGCGGAAGCGGAUUAAACUUAAUCUACGAAGAAACACUCAAGAAGAUGGAAAUUGACAAAAGCCGCAUUGAACAAAGCGGCACAACCUUCAGGGGAAUUAUCCCUAGUCGGGAAGCACGGUGCACAGGGAAAAUCACACUCGAUGUGGUAUUCGGCACCCCGGAAAAUUACAGGUCCAAAGAAAUCACGUUCCAAGUGGCUCUUUUCAGCAGCGCAUACCACGCCCUUCUAGGGCGAGACGCGUUUGCACACUUUCAAGCUAUACCCCAUUACGGGUACAUGAAGCUUAAAAUGCCCGGACCCAAUGGAAUUAUCACUCUAGCUAGUGAUCCGGACGUCGCACUCCGUGCCGAAAACAAAACUGCAGCACUAGCCUUGGAAGCACUAUCUGAAGCCCUAGCGGUAGAAGAAUUAACAACACUGCGCGCCACCGUGGACAGGGACGACGUGAUACUCGACAAGCGACCCAAGUCCACCUCAUUCAAACCCGCAGAUGAGAUAGUCAAAUUCCAAGUCCACCCAACGGACCCCACGAAGACAGCUUCCGUCGGGACACAGUUGAACCCUGUUAUGGACGCCGCACUACGCGACUUCUUACGCGAGAAUUGGGAUAUCUUCGCCUGGCACCCAUCGGACAUGUUGGGCAUCCCACGCGAAUUGGCCGAACACAGCCUUAACAUACUGAAGGGAUACAAACCUGCUAAACAGACCCUAAGGCGAUUUUCGGGCCCAAACGGCAAGCCAUGGGGGAGGAGCUAGCCAAGCUACUUGAGGGCGGAUUCAUCAGAGAUAUCAAACAUCCGGAUUGGCUGGCGAACUUGGUAAUGGUACCAAAGAAGGACAAAUCCUGGCACCUGCAUGUCGACUUCAAAGGCCUUAACAAGGCUUGCCCCAAGGAUCCCUUUCCCCUCCCUCGCAUCGAUCAAUUCAUCGAUGCCACAGCCGGACACGACUCGCUGUGUUUCCUCGAUGCAUACUCUGCAUACCAUCAAAUAAAGAUGGCAGAUACUGACCAAGCUGCAACAUCUUUCAUAACGCCAUAUGGCCCUUUCUGCUUCAACACUAUGCCUUUCGGGCUUAAGAAUGCCGGAGCAACCUAUCAAUGCAUGAUUCAAACAUGCCUGGAAAAGCAAAUCAGCAAAACAGUGGAGGCAUACGUGGACGACUUAGUCAUAAAAACAGGACACGUCGAAACCCUAAUAGAUGACUUGAGGCUUACGUUCGACAACCUACGAACAUAUGACAUCAAGUUGAAUCCGGAGAAAUGCAUUUUCGGCGUCCCCUCCGGAAAACUGUUGGGCUUCAUCAUUUCCAAUAGAGGAAUUGAAGCUAAUCCGGAAAAAAUCAGAGCUCUGCCGCAGUUGGCUAUACCAACAGACCUCAAACACAUCCAGAAACUAGCUGGAUGUGUGGCUGCUUUGAGCCGCUUUAUCUCCAGGUUAGGAGAAAAGGCAUUGCCUCUUUACCGCCUUCUUCGGCGCACCGAACACUUCGUGUGGACGGAUGCAGCCGCUGCCGGACUCGAUGAAAUAAAGACCUUAUUGGCCAACAAUCCAAUCCUAACAGCGCCAAAUAUCGGUGAACCUAUGCUGCUGUACAUAGCCACAACACAUCAAGUUGUAAGCGCAGUACUCGUCGUCGAACGAGAGGUUGACGGAUACAAAUUCCCGCUACAGAAGCCGGUUUAUUACGUAUCCAUGGUCCUCACCCCAUGCAAAUCCCGAUACCCACACUAUCAAAAAAUAGCAUACGCAGUCUACAUGGCAUCCUGAAAGCUACGACACUACUUUCAAGAGUGUUCGAUUACGGUGGCCUCCGAAGUACCACUAAACGAUAUAAUAAACAACCGCGAUGCCACGGGCCGGAUCGCUAAAUGGGCGAUUGAGCUCCUUUCGUUCGACAUAAUAUACAAGCCUCGGCGGGCUAUCAAGUCGCAAGUAUUAGCUGACUUUGUCGCCGAAUGGACGGAAGCCGAACUCCCUAAAGAGUACGGCGCAUACUCCAACUGGAUCAUGCACUUCGACGGCUCUAAAAUGCUGGCCGGAUUGGGAGCAGGCAUAGUCCUGACGUCUCCCACUGGAGACACGGUCCAAUACGUCCUCCAGAUAUUAUACACAGACUCCAACAAUGCAGCCGAAUAUGAGGCUCUGUUGCACGGUCUUCGGAUGGCAGUCUCUAUGGGCAUUCAACGCCUAGAGGUGCGCGGGGAUUCAAACCUUGCAAUAUCCCAAAUAAACGGACACUUUGAUGCCAAGGAUCCGAAAAUGGCGGCCUACCGUAAUGUCGUCCUUAAAAUGUCAGCUCGGUUUGAGGGGCUCGAAUUUCACCAUCAGGUUCGAGAAAACAAUCAAGCAGCAGAUGUACUUGCUCACAUCGGUGCUAAACGCGACCCUGUCCCACCUAACAUAUUCCUGGAAAGGCUGUUCAAGCCAUCCGUGACAUGGGAAGGGGAGUCCGGCAAUACCAGCACAGAUCUGAAUACAUCCCAGAUUCCGAACUAUCAGACAUAAUCGGAGGCUCUACCACCGAAAUAACAUCGUCAGCCCACGAAAUAAUGGAUGUCAUUGCCCCGUGGACUGAGCCGUUCUUGGCCUACCUAAAUAGGCAGGAGCUCCCCGAAGACCAAAAUGAAGCACACUGCAUCGUCCGGCGUUCUAAAGCUUACAAAGUCCAUGAAGGGGAACUCUAUAAGAAAAGUGCGACCGGAGUGCUUCAAAGGUGCAUCUCCGAAGAGGAAGGGCGGCAGCUCUUGGCUGAAAUCCAUGCCGGACUGGGCGGUCACCAUGCCACGGCUCGAGCACUAGUUAGCAAGGCCUUCCAUACAGGUUUCUAUUGGUCGACUGCCCGUGCAGACGCGCAGGACCUUGUCCAACAUUGCGUCGUUUGCCAGCUCUUUGCCAAUCAGAGUCAUAUGCCCUCUACCGCUCUCCAAACAAUCCCCAUAACUUGGCCCUUUGCGGUCUAGGGGCUGGACAUGGUUGGACCCCUUAAAGGGGGAAGCCACAAGAAAAAAUACUUAUUGGUCAUGGUAGAUAAGUUCACCAAAUGGAUAGAAGCCAAACCAGUGAAAACGGCCGAAUCCGGACCAGUAAUCAACUUUAUAUCCGGGUUCGUACACCGAUACAGUGUCCCCCACAGCAUCACCACCGAUAAUGGCUCAAAUUUCACGGCUGAUGAGGUGAAAUCUUGGUGCGGCAAAAUGGGCAUUAAGCUCGACUAUGCUUCCGUCUACCAUCCUCAAACAAAUGGCCAGGUCGAACGGGCAAAUGGUCUCAUCAUGAGUGGCAUCAAACCCAGACUAGUGCGAUCCUUGACAGAGUCGGAUACUCAUUGGGUCGAGGAGCUCGACUCCGUACUCUGGGGGCUGCGGACCACGCCGAAUGGCACUAAUGGAUAUAAACCAUUUUUUAUAGUGUACGGUGCGGAAGCAGUACUACCUUGCAACAUAAUACAUGAUUCGCCACGCGUACGCAUAUACGAAGAGAAGGAAGCCGAGUUAGAUCGGCAGGAUAACUUGGACGCCUUGGAGGAGGAGCGCGAUGUCUCUAAGGCCCGUUCCGCAUUCUAUCAGCAAUAGGCUCGACGAUACUAAAGUAGAGAAGUACAGGCAAAAACUUAUAAUGUUGGCGAACUCGUUCUACGCUUACCGGAGAAGAAGAAGGAUAAGCUCAAACCCAAGUGGGAAGGCCCCUUCGUCAUCGACCAAGUUCUCACCGGAGGAGCAUACCACUUACGUAAUGCGUCCGAUAACAGACUCGAGUCGAACCCAUGGAACGCGGCCAGACUCCGGAGAUUCUAAACGCCUAGCACCGAACUCAGUGUUUGUAUCCUUACCUCCCCCUUUUUUUAUGCUCCCUCCCUCUUCCUUUCUCAAAUCUUUUCCUCUUCACACAAAGUAUUUCAUACAGUACGGACUCCCGUAUUAUUCUUGCCGCACUAUGUGUGUAAGCAAUACCUAGGGGCUUCCUAUAUGGAAGCUAAAUAUAAAUUACUCUCAAGGCUUUUUUCCCAUCACACAUGAGUUUCUUUUUUUCAUGUGUGCCUUUUCUUCACCAUUAUAUGCAUCGAUAUGACUUAAGACAUGGCCAAGCUGGGUUGCCUAGCUCCUGUGUUUAUGCCCUACGUUCCCGUUAAUUCGGCUAGGGCAUAAGGGGAGCACCUCUGCGAUUGUUACUGCCGGUUGAGCCGAAUGUGUACCUCAGACUGGGUGAAGCCGAAAGCUAGUUUCCUUAAGAGAAUAUUCGGUCGGUGAACAAAAGAUGUCUUCGUUUAUCAUAACAUAAAUCCCCAGAAGUUUUGUAUCCUACGCCUUCGUUCGCAGUCCGGACAUGUGCUUUGCCGCAUGCAUUCCCAGGGAAAUGAACCCCUAAUGGAACUAUUCUCCCUGGAAGAUGUUUCUUACUAUCCAUGUAAUAUAACAUAACUAGUUAGGUACUUGUCUAUUCAAGCACUUAUGACCCCUACGCCUGGUCUCCACGCAUACCCCGGUUUUUUAUAACUGAGCGGGUAUUCAAACACACCCCGGACUAUCGGAUCCGAGGGCUGAAGCGAAAAGGUCAGCCAUGACAAAUGAUUUUAAUCCGGCUAGGGGCUACUUAUGCCCAUUAAAUUACACAGUCACUUGGACUGACUAUAUUCCUCCUCUAUGCCAUCCAACAGGCUAUCUAGUUUACAAUCCUGUUGCGAAUACUUAGCGGCUAACACUACCUGGUCAUGUACCAGACUUACGGGAAUUUCUUGCCCAUCGGGCCCCGCUGGUCCUACUUCGGCCAUAUGGUUCGGGUCCAGCUUGGUUUAGCGCAUCUUUACCAUUGCCCAAGAUUCUCUUGCACCUUGCCGGCAUGCUGAUAUCUUCCACAGCUGGAAGCGCCGCCGGGCUCCUUGAAGCAGGUCCACAAGCUCCAUCAUGCCAUUUGGCAAGGGGCUUGAUGGCCACAAGGCCUGAGCAACGACGUGCAUCACCCGCCGAGCUCGCUCGUGCAACUGUGAAAGUUCUUGCAGUACAUCACCUGUAGAUGAGGGCAUCUCCUCCUCGGGGCGACCCGUUAACAUUCCUACAAGAAAAAUUCUUUCAACACACUUCUGCGCCGAACUAUCAUACAGUUCGUCUAGGCACUCACCAUAAAUGCCGCGUUCAAGCCUUUUAUUCUCCUUUACGGAGUCCGCCAACUGGGCACGGACGUCUUUUAACUCUACAUCUAGUCGGACAUUGGCAUCCUGAAGAUUGUUCUUCUCCUGCCGAACCUGCGUGAGAAUGCGCUCGCCAGCCUUUAGUUGCCCCGAGAGAUACGACUCGUCGUCUCCCCCGCCCUCUGGAUUUACUGCAGGGUUAUAUACAGAAUUUUUUGUUAAAUUUGUCAUACCAGCCAGUUGCUAAUUGGUACAUUUUCGUACAAUCGAGAUAAAUGUUACCCGCUGAAGCCUUUUGGGUUUCCUCUAGCUUGGUAACUGUGGCCCUCAGUUGGGUCUUGCCCUCCUCCAGCUCCCGAGACAAUUGCUCAUUCUUAUCUAUAAGAACCUGCGCAUAAAUAGAUCCUUAAAACAGUUGUUCCAACCGUUUCAAGUCUCAGGGGCUCCUACUAUACAUAAUUAUCACAAUUUCUUACCCGUAUAUCUUUGGUAUACUGGUUCGUCGCUUGGGCAAGCCCGCCUUGAGCAGCUCGGACGUAUGCGUCUGCCGAAUUGAAGCGUUAAAAGCCUCUUCGGAAAAGAUGUUGUUCCGAAGCACGGCCCUCCGGCGCUGGUGAUUCAUGGCGCUCUCCACUUUGGAGUUUGUGGCCGAAAACAUAUCCGCAUCCUCUGUCGGAGGACUAUGCGGCAUUGGCCCUAUGUCCGCCUCCUCUCUCAAAGUCGGUUCUAGUGCCCGACUGAUGGAGGCAUGGUUGGCAGGAUCUCCGGAUAUAGUUCGGAUACCCCUCUUCCUGCCAGGAUGUAAAGGGCGCUGUUACACUUCAAGUAACAAUAAUUACAUGACAGGUUGUUUCCUUACCUCUACAGAGGCGUGUCGGCCCUAACCGCCUUCCUCUUGAGCCUACCCGAUCCGGACGCCUGUGGAUGACGGGUCCCUAGGGGCUCGGCCCUGCGCUCCAAACGUUGCUUCUGCAAAAACACGACGCAUCAGGGAUAAAGUGUGAUAUCAGGAAAGAGUCCUCUUUGGAGGAUCGAUUUUUCGGCUUAGCUUACACGCGACGAAGGUAGCAGUCCGGGAUAACCAGCAGUAAUAGACACUGAGGCACCGUCACGGCUUGCCCGAUAAAAUAUCCCGUCGACAAGCUCCACUGAUGCAUUCGGGACUUCUUCGAGUCCUGGAUCCAGGGCCCUUUCGGGGUCCUCUGGCUGCGGGGAAGGGCUGGAGAUUCCUUCUACGGUCCUCCUCAGUUCCUGCUCGGAAAUGUCGAAGCAGGUAACCUUAGCAAAGGACGCCACGAUAAGUGAAGCGAGAGCAUAAAUGACGACUUACCCAGUUUGGGGGAUUGUACAUGGAGAAUCCAUCUCGUGGUUUGAUAUGAAGGAAGUCUUCCUCUUCUCCUUUGUAUAGAUCGGACAAUAUCCUUGCCAGAGCAGUGGCGGAGUCCGGACCCUUACGGCCACAGCGGGUGGCAUCAUCUGUCCCGUUGUAAUGCCACGUGGGAUUGCCCCAAUAUUGAAGCGGUUGCACUCCCCGCAUUAUGCAUAUUGCCAUGACCUCAACUAUCGUCAGUCUGAAUUUGGCCAGUAACUUUAUCCUGCUCAUCAGGAAGUGUAUUUCCCUGGAAUCCUCUUCUUGGGGGCCUUGGAGGCGCCAGCUUAGACGUGCCCUCGGCGGGGUGUUACUGAACUUGGGGAGUCCUUUCUGGACUGGAUCCGGAAGGGGAGCGUCAUCAAUAUAAAACCACUCUGAAGCCCAGUCAUCUGGUGCCUUCUUGGGUGUGCCGGAUAGGUAUCCGGUCUCAGCGAUAUGCCAUACUUCGGCCCCGCCCACUUGACAUAGCGAUUCUCCCUGGUUGCGGGGGACAAGGCAGAACAGCUUCUUCCACAAUCCAAAAUGAGCCUCGCAGCCUAGGAAUAGCUCACAAAGGGCGACAUACCCUGCUAUAUGUAGUACGGAGGCUGGGGUAAAGUUGUGCAACUGGAGGCCGUAGAACUCCAGGAGCCCAUGAAGGAAUGGAUGAAUAGGAAACCCGACGCCCCUUAAUAGAUGCGGAAUGAGGCAUAUUCGCUCCUCUGGGAAUGGAUUGGGAGAUCUCUCCGCUUGUUCUCCGCCGUUAUAGGUGGCCACUCCGGCUCGGACAGGGACCAUGAACGCCGGUGGGAGAAGCCCUUGGGUUUGUAGCUUUAUCAAACGGCUAUGAGAAACUGAACACUCUCCCCAGUCCCCCGGCUUGGGGCAAGGGGAGCAAGCAGAAGAGCUGCGACGACUGGCCAUGUUGGAAUGGUUUUUUCUGGGCGCUCUGUUGGAUGCUUGCUCGAGGAGGGAGAGUGAGGUUUGGAUUUGGGAAUCCCCGUCUCUUCAAAUAGACGGUUAGCCCGAAGGACUGAGGGUGGAAAAUGAAAAAAUGCCUCGACUCCUCGCAUUCGCUCGACACAUGGAAACGAUCAUUAUUGAAGCACUGAAGCCGAGGAGUACAACAUUGAUGAGAUGUCGGACACUGUUCGUCGUGAUGGGUACAUUGGAGUAUUCGGAGAAGGAACCCGCCUUGCAAUGCUGAAGACAAGACUGCCUGUCGGACUCAUCAUCAUUGAAGCCUGGUUCAGGGGCUACAGAGGGAGUCCUGGAUAAGGGGGUAUCCGGACAGCCGGACUGUACACAUUGUCCGGACUAUAGAAGCGUCAAGAUACAAGACUCAAGACUUCGGCUCGUGUCCGGAUGGGACUCUCCUUUGCGUGGAAGACAAGCUUGGCGAUCCGGAUAUUAUAUUUCCUUCCUUGUAACUGACUCCAUGUAAACCCUAGCUCUCCGGUGUCUAUAUAAACCGGAGAGGAUGGUCCUUAGAAGGCCGAUCACAAUUACAAUCAUACCAUCAUAGGCUAGCUCUUAGGGUUUAGCCUCUACGAUCUCGUGGUAGAUCUACUCUUGUACUACUCAUAUCUUCAAUAUUAAUCAAGCAGGAAGUAGGGUUUUACCUCCAUGGAGAGGGCCUGAACCUGGGUAAACAUUGUGUCCCUUGCUUCCUAUUACCAUCAGCCUAAGACGCACAGAUCAGGACACCCUACCCAAGAUCCGCCGGUUUUGACACCGACAACUGUCAUUACUAUCUUAUAUCUUUUGGCAUGAACAUGUGUAUCACUACGAUCGAGAUUCAAUAAACCAUUCAUUUUAGGUGCAAGACCAUUGAAGGUAUUAUUCAAAUAAAUAGAGUAACCAUUAUUCUCCUUAAAUGAAUAACCAUAUUGCGGUAGACAUAAUCCAAUCAUGUCUAUGCUCAAUGUGAACCCCAAAUAACAGUUAUUCAGGUUUAACAUCAAUCUCGAUGGUAGAGGGAGUAUGCGAUGCUUGAUCACAUCAACCUUGGAAACACUUCCAACACAUAUUGUCUUCUCACCUUUAGCUAGUCUCCGUUUAUUUCGUAGCCUUUUAUUUCGAGUUACUAACACUUAGCAACCGAACCGGUAUCUAUUACCUUGGUGCUACUAGGAGUACUAGUAAAGUACACAUUAAUAUAAUGUAUAUCUAAUAUACUUCUGUCGACCUUGCCUGCCUUCUUAUCUACCAAGUAUCAGGGUAAUUCUGCUCCAGUGACCGUUCCCCUUAUUAUAGAAGCACUUAGUCUCGGGUUUGGGUUCAACCUUGGGUUUCUUCACUAGAGCAGCAACUGAUUUGUCGUUUCAUGAAGUAUCCCUUCUUGCCCUUGCCCUUCUUGAAACUAGUGGUUUCACUAACCGUCAAUAAUUGAUGCUCCUUCUUGAUUUCUACUUUCGCGGUGUCAAACAUCGCGAAUAGCUCAAGGAUCAUCAUAUCUAUCCCUGAUAUGUUAUAGUUCAUCACGAAGCUCUAGUAGCUUGGUGGCAGUGACUUUGGAGAAACAUCACUAUCUCAUCUGGAAGAUUAACUCCCACUCGAUUCAAGUGAUUGUAGUACUCAGACAAUCUGAGCACAUGCUCAACGAUUGAGCUUUUGUCCCUUGGUUUGUAGGCUAAGAAACUCGUCAUAGGUCUUAUACCUCUUGACAUGGGCACGAGCCCGAAAUCCCAAUUUCAGCCCUUGGAACAUCUCAUAUGUUCUGCGACGUUUCAAAAACAUCUUCGGCGCCAGAAUUCUAAACCGUUUAACAUUACUGAACUAUCAUGUAGUCAUCAAAACGUGUAUGUCAGAUGUUCGCAACAUCCACAGACGACGUUCGAGGUUCAGCACACCGAGCAGUACAUUAAGGACAUAAGCCUUCUAUGCAGCAAGGAGGACAAUCCUCAAUUUACGGACCCAGUCCGCAUGUUUGCUACUAUCAACUUUCAACUAAAUUUUCUUUAGGAACAUAUCUAAAAUAGUAGAACUGAAACGCGAGCUACGACAUAAUUUGCAAAGACCUUUUCACUAUGUUCAGGAUAAUUAAGUUCAUCUAAUCAAAUUAUUUGAUGAACUCCCACUCAGAUAGACAUCCCUCUAGUCAUCUAAGUGAUACAUGAUCUGAGUCAACUAGGCCGUGUCCGAUCAUCACGUGAGAUGGACUAGUCAUCAUCGGUGAACAUCUUCAUGUUGAUUAUAUCUACUAUACGACUCAUGUUCGACCUUUCGGUCUCUUGUGUUCCGAGGCCAUGUCUGUACAUGCUAGGCUCGUCAAGUCAACCUAAGUGUUUCGUGCGUGUAAAUCUGGCUUACACCCGUUGUAUGUGAACGUUAGAAUCUAUCACACCCGAUCAUCAUGUGGUGCUUCGAAACAACGAACUUUCGCAAUGGUGCACAGUUAGGGGGCACUUUCUUGAAAUUUUAUGAGGGAUCAUCUUAUUUAUGCUACCGUCAUUCUAAGCAAAUAAGAUUUAAACAUGACAAACAUCACAUGCAAAUCAUAAAGUGACAUGAUAUGGCCAAUAUCAUCUUGCGCCUUUGAUCUCCAUCUUGAGGCACGGCAUGAUCACCUUCGUCACCGGCAUGACACCAUGAUCUCCAUCAUCAUGAUCUCCAUCAUCGUGUCUUCAUGAAGUUGGCAUGCCAACAAUUACUCCUACUACUAUGGCUAACGGUUUAGCAAUAAAGUAAAGUAAUUACAUGGCGUUUAUUCAAUGACACGCAUGUCAUACAAUAAUUAAGACAACUCCUAUGGCUCCUGCCGGUUGUCAUACUCAUCGACAUGCAAGUCGUGAUUCCAAUUACAAGAACAUGAUCAAUCUCAUACAUCACAUAUAUAUCAUUCAUCACAUCCUUUUGGCCAUAUCACAUCACAAGGCAUAUGGUGCAGAAACAAGUUAGACGUCCUCUAGUUGUUGUUGCAUGUUUUUACGUGGCUGCAACAGGGUUCUAGCAAGAACGUUUCUUACCUACGUCAAAACCACAACAUGAUAUGCCAAUUUCUAUUUACCCUUCAUAAGGACCCUUUUCAUCGAAUCCGAUCCGACUAAAGUGGGAGAGACAGGCACCUGCUAGCCACCUUAUGCAACUAGUGCAUGUCAGUCGGUUGAACCUGUCUCACGUAAGCGUACGUGUAAGGUCGGUCCGGGCCGCUUCAUCCCACGGUGCCGCCGAAACAAGAUAAGACUAGUAGUGGCAAGUAAAUUGACAACAUCUACGCCCACAACAAAAUUGUGUUCUACUCGUGCAUAGAAACUACGCAUAGACCUAGCUCAUGAUGCCACUGUUGGGGAAUGUUGCAGAAAAUAAAAAAUUUCUACGCUUCACCAAGAUCAAUCUAUGGAGUCAUCUAGCAACGAGAGAGAGGAGUGCAUCUACAUACCCUUGUAGAUCGCGAGCGGAAGCGUUCGAGAGAACGGGGUUGAUGGAGUCGUACUCGUCGUGAUCCAAAUCACCGAUGAUCCUAGCACCGAACAGAUGGCACCUCCGCGUUCAACACACGUACGGUUGGGAGAGACGUCUCCUCCUUCUUGAUCCAGCAAGGGGGAAGGAGAGGUUGAUGGAGAUCCAGCAGCACGACGGCGUGGUGGUGGAAGUAGCGGGGAUCUCGGCAGGGCUUCGCCAAGCUUAGCGAGAGGGAAAGGUGUUACGGGGGAGAGGGAGGCGCCAGGGGCUUGGUUGUGCAGCCCUCCAUCCCCCCCUCUUUAUAUAGGGGCCCUCGGGGAGCGCCGGCCCCCUAGAGAUCCAAUCUCAAGGUGGGGGGCGGCGGCCAAAGGGUGAAACUUGCCCCCCAAGUCAGGUGGGGCGCCCCCCACCCCCAGGGUUUCCAACCCUAGGCGCAGGGGGAGGCCCAAGGGGGGCGCACCAGCCCACCAGGGGCUGGUUCCCUUCCCACUUCAGCCCAUGGGGCCCUCCGGGAUAGGUGGCCCCACCCGGUAGACCCAUGGGACCCUUCCGGUGGUCCAGGUACAAUACCGGUGACCCCCGAAACUUUCCCGGUGGCCGAAACUGGACUUCCUAUAUACAAAUCUUUACCUCUGGACCAUUCCGGAGCUCCUCGUCACAUCCAGGAUCUCAUCUGAGACUCCGAACAACCUUCGGUAACCACAUACUAUUUCCCAUAACAACUCUAGCGUCACCGAACCUUAAGUGUGUAGACCCUACGGGUUCGGGAACCAUGCAGACAUGACCGAGACAUUCUCCGGCCAAUAACCAAUAGCGGUAUUUGGAUACCCAUGUUGGCUCCCACAUGUUCCAUGAUGAUCUCAUCGGAUGAACCACAGUGUCAAGGAUUCAAUCAAUCCCGUAUACAAUUCCCUUUGUCAAUCGGUAUGUUACUUGCCCGAGAUUCGAUCGUUGGUAUCCCAAUACCUCGUUCAAUCUCGUUACCGGCAAGUCACUUUACUCGUUCCGUAAUGCAUGAUCCCGUGACUAACUACUUAGUCACAUUGAUCUCAUUAUGAUGAUGCAAUACCGAGUGGGCCCAGAGAUACCUCUCCGUCAUACGGAGUGACAAAUCCCAGUCUCGAUUCGUGCCAACCCAACAGACACUUUCGGAGAUACCUGUAGUGCACCUUUAUAGCCACCCAGUUACGUUGUGACGUUUGGUACACCCAAAGAAUUCCUACGGUAUCCGGGAGUUGCACAAUCUCAUGGUCUAAGGAAAUGAUACUUGACAUUAGAAAAGCUUUAGCAAACGAACUACACAAUCUUGUGCUAUGCUUAGGACUGGGUCUUGUCCAUCACAUCAUUCUCCUAAUGAUGUGAUCCCAUUAUCAAUGACAUCCAAUGUCCAUGGUCAGGAAACCAUAACCAUCUAUUGAUCAACGAGCUAGUCAACUAGAGGCUCACUAGGGACAUGUUGUGGUCUAUGUAUUCACACAUGUAUUACGGUUUCCAGACAAUACAAUUAUAGCAUGAAUAAUAAACAAUUAUCAUGAACAAGUAAAUACAAUGAUAACCAUUUUAUUAUUGCCUCUAUGGCAUAUUUCCAACAGCACCUACACCCCUGCCCCGGUCGAGGUUGUCCGGCCGGAUUUGUGACCAGCCGUGAGCUGCGAGAGAGUGUGGCCACCUAUGUCUUGCUUAGAACUGGAGAGCAUGAGAGAGUGAACAAGAGGAACCCUAGUAAAGCAAGCGCUAAGGCUCCUUCUUAUAUAUAUAGUGGAGUGAUUUUGUUUUACCAGCUUCAAAAAAUGCGCUCCUACGUGUACCAGUGAGUGGGUGUGAGAGAACUAGUGUGUGUGUGCACCGCUUCUCUUCGUGAGAGUACAAUAUUCUAUGCCCAAAGAACGUUCGCCGCAAGAGUAAUAGUACAAGUGUGUGACGUGUGAGCUAAAAUAAAAUGUGUGUGAUGUCUUUUGUUUUUUAGAAGUUCUGAGGGUAGGGUGUGAAGAGCACAUAUGUGCGUGACGUCUACCUGCAGAUAGACGGUGGCUGCGACGUGCGAGUCUGCGAGAGGACUCGGGAGAGUCAUGAAUCGUGAGGGUGCAUGUGCGUGAGAGGGGGGCACGUAUCAAUGCAAUGCAUGUGUCCGUAAAUCAUUAUCCGACAAACAUUCGCCACAAGCCUUUUCCUGACGAACAUCGUAAGAACCGUUAGAUCGGCAUUCGAAAGUGUCAGUUUUCCCAUGUCAUUUAACAGAACAGACACUCCCCCUACACACAAAUCUUCCACGUGAGUGUUAGCAACUGCCGUAUGCUCCCUCCAUUCCGAAAUGCAGUGCAUAUAGCUUUGUUGAAAAUUCGAACCUCGCAAACUUUUAUCGAGUUUUCGUGUACCAAAUUGCACAUGUAGAAUACCCUGUAUAUAUCAUUUCAUUCAUCUUCGAGAGGUAACUAUAAAGAUGGGGGAGGAGUCUACAAAAUAAGACCAUCGUAUCACCCGCAUCAAUUUCAACCAUCCUUUGGUGUCGAGGAAUAUCAUAGGAACUCUAUAUGAUAUGAUUUUCAUAGGAUUUUUUCCUUUAGAGCCAAUUGGUUCAUAGGAAUAGAUUCAUAUACUCCACAUUUCAAAGGAAAUAAACAUGAUAUCAUUUCUAUAGCUUUAGAGCCACUUGGUUCAAGUGAAUGGAUUCCUAUACUCCCUUAAUUUCAAAGGAAAAUAAACAUUAGCGUAUAUUCAAUAGAAAAGUUCCUAUGAUCUAAACCAAAUUACAUAUCUUUUAUAAUCCCUCCUCAUAGGAAUUGAGAUACAUGUCAUCUCUAGAUUCAAUAGAAAAGUUCCUAUGAUGUGAACCAAAUGACAUCUCUUUUCCAAUCCCUACUCAUAGGAAUUGAGAUCCUCCAUGUAAUCUCUUUCCCUACAACUUCCAUGUAUAGAUCUUCUAUCCUAAAUAGAUAGUACAACCCACUAGUAGCUUUUUUCCAAAACAUGCAACUAUGGCACAAGAACUAUAUAGUGUGCCAAUAACUUUGAAAGAUGGUAGCUGGAUGAAGCUAAUCUGACAGUGCAGAGAUGGCGAAUCACUACUGGCCGUUGGAUAUCAUCAACAUUCCACCAGAUCAGCCACAUGUAUAAUUUAAAAGACUCCAUGGUUGAACUUAAGCAUAAUGCACAAACCUCAAAACACAAGCACUUCUCCUUUGUUCUAGAAUCUUCUGUAUCAUAAUUAUUAUUUUUUCUAAAUGAAUUGCCAUUGUUUGUUUUUUACUUUAUGCUUUACAAUGCACAACCCCAUUAAUCUUAACAUUUUUAUAAAACUAAUUGAUUUUGAAUGAGAUGAACUAUAAGAACUAAACGAACAUCUACAUCAUGCAUAUAUGACUCAAAGCUUUACAUGCUAUAGUGUGUAUUUAUUCAUAAUUUGGUUUCAAAAUCUCAUGCGUUCAAUGCAUCAUUGCCUUUCGGUCGAACCUAUGUCCACAAUUUUUUGUACGUACUAUAUCGCCACUAGUCCCCGAAUCCAAAAUGUUGCCUCGUUCCCGUAAAACUAAGCGGCCCACACAUGCGUCGACUCGAACCCGUUUACUACAACAUGGCCCCGCAUGCUAUAGUACUCCUACAAACCCUACCGCCGCACUCAUCGUCGGUUUUCUUCAAGAGGACAAGGGAGAAGCCGAUCUGUAGUGGAGGCGCUUUCAAAAAAAAGGAUAUGUAGUGGAGACCCCUACCCUAGGGUGCCCUAGGUAGCUGCCACACGCAUCAUUGUUUUCUCUUUUCUUUAUGCUCUUGCGCCCUAGAGUGAAAUGAUGGUUGCUUCGUCUGUCCAGCUUAAUGCGGGAAAGGUGGGGCUUUGUGAUUUGACCCCUCGUCGCUCAUUUUCUACUACCGCGGCGCUACGACUGGGGUGCCUCCAGUUCCAACCGCUGCUCCGAACUGUAAUUUGGUGCAUCACACGUGGAACAAGACAGUGGAUGAGCCACAUGUCAGCCAAAGGGGUCCUGUUAAGUGUGUCGCCAUUUCGUGUGCGGACUGACCCUGCUUGAGUUGCUACGCCAACACAACAGGAGCAGCCUACCACUUGGUUUUGCUCCUUGGUGAAUCCCGACUAUAUUGAUCUAAAAAGAUACGUGCUGAACUACCCUCUCCGUCUCGGUUUUUUAUUUUUAGGCGUCUUGGUUUAUAGGGCGUGCACGUAGUUCUAGGUCAUCCAUUUGACUAACUAAAUAUGAGUUACUAUAUCAUUGGAUUCUUAAGCAGAUGUAGUUGUAUUUAAAAGUCGAGGGCGGGGCUUUUCCUGCGCGGUAGGCGGGGUAGUUCCGCCUAGUCGGUUCGACAGAGACACGAGAAAACGAGGGAGUAGGCUGCUGCAAACGUAGGGCUGUGUGAUUUGACAGCGAGUUACUGGUGGGCAGGUGGGGCCCCGUGACUUGACUUGCCAUUAUCAUUUUAACUGCGGCGCUACGACCGGCGUGAGUCUCCCAAUUCCUGACCACCUCCAUACAGGCACCUCUCCCAAUGCUCCACCAUGUAGUAGAGGAUGGCGACGAGUUUGACGUCAUCUACACCCGUUCUUCCGCGAUGGUGAAAGGAUGCCUUUCUCGCUUCAGACGCAUGUUCGAAGACUCAGAUGAUGAGCGGGUCGCUGGGCUAGAUGUUGAGUACACCACAGUCCUGGGACAAAAGAAGGAUCUAAAGGACGAAGAGAGGAAAAAGCCCAUCGUGAUCCAGGUUUGCGUGCAUGAGUUAUGCUUGGUCUACGACAUAUGCCAUGUCGAUGUUGAAUGCCUGGAUUUUAAGAACUUCCUCGAGAGCAACCUAGUCAAAUUCGUUACUGUAGACUUUGGUAACAACAAAGAAGUCCUGCGUCGGAUAGGCCUCGUUGUAGGAAACCCCUUCGACCUCCAUAAGAAUAGGCUGCUGCCCUCCGGUGGCCAGCCUUCAAUGUUGACCCUGGCAGGAGCCAUGGUUCAUUCUUCGUACGGUAAACUGGAGAAACCUCAUUACACGUUUCAUCAUCAUGCAUGGCAGCGGAAUGUACUAGAUAUAGACCACAUCCACUAUGCUGCAAUGGAUGGCUACCUUUGUUUCAAUAUCCAUAAGGGUUGGGUGAAGAGCAAGAGCCAAGUGUGCGGUUCAAGCAAAGAAGUAUCGGCCAAGAGGAAGAGGGAUCAGGACGAAGUCAAGGAUGUGGACGAGGACUCCUCCGAGUGAGUAAGGUGUCAGUAUCGUUGCUCAUGGUGGUUCUAACGCAGUGUCUAUCAGAUUAGUUGCAUAGUUUAAUUUCAGGUGUGCUUAGUUGAAUUUGAGGGGUAUGUUGUGUUGAGCCCCAGCAGAACUAUGUUAUGUUUCUUCUUGUUACUUUAACUCCUCAGUAUGAUACAUACUACUAGUAUUUCUUUAAUAGAAUUUAGCACCACAAUUAAGCACGUACUAGCUUUUUUAAUACUACUAUAUGCAUAAUUUGGCGACGAGCGCUCUCUAUAUGUACCACCUUUUUUUAAUUUCAAUUUUUGCUCCACGGCGCAAUCCAUCGAUAGUACUACUGUACAAAAGUAUACACUUUUUAGAAGGCUAGAGUACUGUUCAUCACAUAUAUAGCCAGUUAAAUUCUCAACCUAGAACGACGUGCAUGCCAUGUAGUAAACUGAUACGGAGUAAGUAGAGUAAAAAUGAGGUGAUUUUACCGAGCGAUCGGCGGGGGAGCAUGGCCUGUCAUGCGGUCCCAUCUGUCAUGAUGUACCAAGGCGAUGUGCGUGUCCCUCUUGAGGCAGAAGCAAUACUACAUGGUUUGAGAUGAUGGCAAACCGAAGUGUGAAAUAAUGGUUGCUUCGUCCGUCUUGGAAGGUGCGGAAUUGUGAUUUGACGUCUCAUUGCUCAUUACUACUACUGGGCAGGUACGAGUGGGGUACGUCUCCCCUACUGUUCAGCACUGUUAUUUGGUGCUUGACACGUCGACCCGGUUGCUAUAUGUCCCACAUGUCGGCGACAGGAAGUACAGAAUUCAUGAAAGGGAGCGUCGACGGAGGAGUAUACUACAGAAUUCAUGAAAGGGAGCGACUUAGUUUUGGAAAAAUCUGUUUUUACGGAGUACGUACCCACUAGGGUUUAUAGGGCUCAUAUAAAAAACAUUUGUUUUUCUGUUUGAUAAGUCUCAAUUCUACUAUACUAGUAGUAGUACCAUUACAUGUUGGAUUUCGAGGUGCGUUAGAUCACCCGACGCAAGCAGUGUCAAGAGGAAACUAACCAAUGCAUGUACAAGUUCAAGGAAAUUUAGUGGGAGUAGUACUCCCUCCGUCUAGGUGUGUAAGUCAUCUUACGAAAACCAAAUAAUCCCAAAACACUUAGGCGCGGUGCAUUAAAUUCUACCUAGUUUCUUGUUUCUUGACAUAUCAACCAAUAAGAGAUGUGGGGUGUGCAUGUUUUUAAUGACUUGAGACUACCAAACACGACAUGCAAUGGUUAGUUCAUUGCAUGCAAUGCUAUUAAUUAGCAAAUGAACAUUAAGUUCUCUCAUUUUCUCCUCCUCCUUGGUCACGGUGCACAACCUAAGAUGACUAACUCACCUAGACAGAGGGAGUAAAAUUUUCCCUCGUGCUGCGAGCCACCGCGCGCGUUGGCGAGGGAGCGGGCGUAAGGCGUACAAUAGUAGGAGUACUACUACUACUACUACUCGUAAGUAAGCUUCACCUCAUCCUGCGAGCCACCGUGCCCGUGGACGGGGGAGACGGCGUACUAAGCAAGCUUCUCCCCGUUCUGUGAGUUGACGGGACACAUCAAAAGUACUCCAGUAUAUAGAGCCUUGCCUCUAAGGUAGGCCCCACAUGGUUUGCCUCUUUUUAUAACAUAACACGUCAAGUCACAAUUUGUUUGUUCAGCCGUGGUAGACGAUCCUCCCUCCACCAAGUGGACAACCAGUACACGUGCCAAAUUACCACGUGGGCUGCCUUUUCCGUACAGAAAUGAGCUCCAUCGUGUGCCUGCGCGAGUGUGGUUGGGAAAGAGACAGGAGUACGUGCGCCGUGCGUGCACCUCUUCUCUUCGUGCACGUCCCUCACCUACGUAGUGUGUGUGAGAGAGAUACAAACCUAGACAUAAUGCGUCAUCCAUCCCCAUGCCUCCGCCCAGUCUGACCACUAGUCACCACCACGCCCCACUCCUCCUCACCUUAUCUCUCAUCUUUCUCCCUCCAUUUUUAUAUACAAGGGGUCACUAUCAAAAUUACAAUUUGCAGAUAUACAAGGCCACUAACACUAAUCGAUGCAAUAUUAAUGGUGUUUGCCUCGUGGUACUAGCAAACGAGGACAUUAAUUAUCCCUUGCAUGCAUGCGGGAGUUUGUAAAAAAUGCAUCUUGAUGUUUCGUGCAAUGCAAGAGCAUCUUGCUAGUCCAUGAAAACAACACAUGGCAAAAUUCCACGGUGAAUGAGGGAUUUGAAUCUGUUGGGAGGGGCUAUUUGGAUCUUGCCCGGGGUAGCCAAAAUAUUGGCGACCCUUUUGUCCACCUGUGCCUUUGCCACCGAUGAACGAGGAAUGGCUCGGGUGCUCAUGCUGUCAUGCAUCCUCCAGCGCACACGUAGGAGACGAGCUCGCAUGAUGUUGGGGAUAUAACUACUGAGUGUAAACCGCCCAGGAGGGGCCGGUUCACCCUCAACUAUAUUGAAGCCCACGAAGACUCAGAAGAUGGCGCUUUACUAUGAAAAUUAGAGGCCCGGAGCCCAAAGGCAGAUUAGGGCCCAUAGUGGUAAACCGCCAUAGUCAUGUAACUUGUGUUGUAAGAUAAGGAAAGGAGAUACCGAGCCGAACACUUUUACGAGUCGGCCUUGGGACUCUGUAGACCGGCUGGGCGUCAACCCAUGUAUAUAAGGGGAUGACCCGGCGGCGGUUCAGGGACAAGAAACACAACUCGAUAGCCAGGCAUAGCUUGUUUAGCUUCCUGGUUAGCGAGACCCCAAUAAUCCCAUCACAACUAGAUGUAGGCCUUUACCUUCAUCGAAGGGGCCGAACUAGUAUAAAAUCCCUCGUGUCCUUUGUCCGGUUUAACCCCUUUAAGCUAACCCGUUGCGAUGGCUCCACGACUAAGUCCUUACACGAGGACAUCUGACGUGAUAUUUCCACGACAGUUGGCACCCACCGUGGGGCUAUCGCACGAUGGUUUCGAGUUCUUGAAGGGCACCUUCGAAGGACUCAAAGGAUACGUGGUGGGCCGGAUGACCAAGAGUCGUCGCAGCAAGCUCUACAUCGACGAUGCAGGCUGGGGCCCCGAGGCCGGCUCAAUCGAGUACGGGUACCGGGUCCCCUUUGGCGGAAUUCACGUCUUCAUCGGCAAGAUCGGCGAACCGGCCCUGAGCCGUACAUCUGCACCGACCUCGUCGAAACGGCUCAGCGUGCAAGUCCUGCCCGGAUUCAGCCUCCCAUGAAGCAUGCGUUCGUGGGAUGUGUCCACGGGAUCGGAUCUGAAACGGUGUCUGAGGGUGACACGGUCGCUUAUUCCGACGGUGAAUCAUCUGGUGAAACCGAAUCCUUGUACCAAGUUCAGGAUGGCGUGUUUGAAGGGUAUUCCGAUGGCACCAGUAUUCCGGAAUUCCUUGAAACGUCGAACCACGUUGGAAUCUUCAUGGCUGGAAUAGAGCCAACCUUGCAAAACUCUACUGCGGCGGCGUCUAGACCGAUAGUAGGGGCAGGAGGCUCCUCGCGCCGGCCGGCUCAAGUUCUCUUCGGUUUUAUGGAUGCCUGGGUGGCCUUGUUGACCACACCAAUUACACCAGCAACGCAGGAUCGGCAUAAUGCGGACAUUGCGAAUUUAAAAGAUCAGAUAACACAAGCCAAAGCGGACUUAGCAGCUGAGCAAACCAGGAUGGCGGAGGAACAGGCCGCUUUAGAUGCCCAGGCGCAAAGGAUUGAAGCUGAGAAUUAUCGGCUUUUGAUGGAUCAGAACGCUUUAAAUCAAGUAUCUAGAAGGAAACAUCAAUCUCGCUUGCCGGCGGAUUACAAUGCAAUGAAUCUCUUUGGAAUGCCAGGUGCAGGAACUAGUAACCCGCCAGCAGUAAACCGGAAUACCGAUCCAAGGACCGGGGUGCCGGAUCAACCUCAGGUGAUGGGUCCACCUCAGCGUACGGACAACCCGCCGCGGUAUACCACACCGCCGCCGGGUCACUUUUCUACCCUGUUGGACAAUAUGAUAGCAGCAGCAUCCCGGUUGGCUGCUAUUCGGAUUGAAGGUGAAUCGCCGGCAGCGGUUGAGACAUGGCGGGCUAGGGAUCUUCUUCAAACAGCUUUGACAUAGCAGCAAGCUUACUCGUAUAGCCGAGACAGCGUUCACUCAACUCCACGACCGAGCAAAAGCUAUAGCAGGCACAUAGAUGAACCGGAGGUAUCUAGCAGUGCGCGGCACCGCAUUGUCCCUCAAGGGCCUAAUCCGGUGCGUAGUGAUAUGAACGCUCGGGACGUGGUGGAUAACGGCAGAGCACGACGGGAGGCCGCUUUAGCAGCACAACAUACGGGGCGAUACCAAACCACCCCGGUUCAGCCAGCAGCGUCAGUAGACCGAGGCGUCGGAGUUGCUUUCAGCUCGUGGGGAGUGCCGUGCCUUAUUCCGGUUCUCCGUAAUGUGCGAUUGCCUAAGGACUUCAAGGGCCCACGUAAGGUGCCGAAUUACACCGCUGAUCAGCCACCCGAGGCGUGGGUAGAAAGUUAUGAGAUGGCGAUGGAGAUGCUGGACGUUGAUGAAGCGGCUUGUGCAAAGUACUUCACGAUGAUGUUGGAGGGAACAGCCCGCACUUGGUUGAAAAAUUUACCACCUAACUCCAUCGAGUCAUGGGACCAGUUGAAGGCCCGGUUUAUAGCCAAUUUCAAGGACACAUCUAAGAAGCCUAUGUCCAUUGUGGAUCUCGAUGCCUGUGUUCAAGGGGAGAACGAGUCAACAACUCAUUGGGUGUGCCGGGUUUCAGAAGUCUUGCAUUCAUCGGACAGUACUAAUGUUGGUUCGGCGAUCAUCACCUUGGAGCGUAAUUGCCGGUUUAAGUCACUGAAGAUGAAGUUGGGACGGCUCAAGCGUCACUGCAACGACAUGGGCACCCUUAUGGCCGCCUUGGUCAAGUAUGAUGAUUCUGAUAAUACCCAAGGAUCCUGAUUCUGAUGAGGAGAAACCGGAGAAGGGAAAGAAGAACGGCGGUGCAAAGGGACAGCAGCACAACCAAGGAGGCCAUGGGAAUAACGGUAAGCGUAAAGCAGAUUCAGAUUUUGUGGCUAACGCUAAUGUGCAACGUCGUAAAGGUAAACCUCCCCAGCGCGGCGGCGGAAUGAAUAUGGAGCGUUUGUUGAAUCAGCCCUGCCCAAAACAUGGGACCAAGGAGGUUCCUGCGACGAAUCUCUGGAAAGAUUGUCACAUUAUGAAGGAGUUCAAAAACUCUGAUCUUUUCCGGUACGAUCAGGGUCCAUCAGGAGGUUCAGGUCCAGGUUUUCAUGGAGGCGGCGGUUCAAGCUCUGGAUUUCAGAAUAAUUAGGGCAACCAGAACAAUCAAGGUGGUAAUAACCAGCAGAGUAAUCAAGGAAAUCAGCAGCAGUCGGGUUACCAGAGUCACCCAAAGCAGUUGAAUGGUGGGCAGUAUCAUGUGUUCACCACUAGUUUGUGCAAGCAUGAUCAGAAGCUUCACAAGAGGGCCAUUAAUGCUGUUGAACCGGCAGUACCAUGUUACUUGCGGUGGUCCGAGCAACCUAUCGUGUGGAGCAGAGAGGAUCAUCCGCCCCGGGUUGCAAUCCGGGUCACCUGGCUUUGGUGGUGGCACCUCAGGUGGGAGGUUAUAAGUUCACCAAGGUGCUCAUGGAUGGAGGAAGCAGCAUCAACAUUCUGUAUUAUGAGACCUUCCAUCGCAUGGGGCUGACAGACAAGAGUCUUAUACAGUCCAAUAUUGUUUUCCAUGGUGUGGUACCAGGUAAAUCGGCAUAUCCUGUUGGUAAGAUCGCUUUGGAAGUUGUGUUUGGUGAUGAACAUGAUGCUCGGUCUGAGACAUUGACCUUUGAAGUGGUGAGGAUCCAGAGCCCGUACCACGCACUAUUUGGGCGACCGGCUUAUGCAAAGUUCAUGGCAAGGCCUUGUUAUAUUUACUUGCAGCUCAAGAUGCCGGUUCAUAAGGGGACCAUUACGGUUCACGGAAGUCGUAAAAUCGCUUUGGAUUGUGAAGAAGGUGAUGCGGCCUAUGCUGAAUCGGUUUGUGCUACAGAGGAGCUGAAGUUUUAUAAGGAAAAUGUUGAUCCGGCAGACAUGACCCCUCUGAAGAAGCCUACCACUGAGCAUGACCCAACCCUACAUUUCAAACCGGCUGAUGAGACUAAACUUGUUGAGUUCAUUCCUGGCGAUUCAUCCAAGCAGUUCAGCAUCAGCACAAAUCUGGAUCCGAAAUAGGAAAGCGCGCUCAUCGAGUUCAUCCGUGAGAACCGGGACAUUUUUGCAUGGAAGCCUUCUGACAUGCCAGGUGUACCGAGGGAACUCGCUGAGCACACUCUCAAUAUUGAUCCCAAGUUUAAACCAGUCAAGCAAUUUCUUCGUCGCUUUAACGAGGAAAGACGCAAGGCAAUUGGUGAAGAGGUAGCCCAGCUAUUGGUUGCUGGUUUUAUCGUGGAGGUGUUUCACCCUGAGUGGUUGGCUAAUCCGGUGCUUGUUCUUAAGAAAAACGGCACUUGGCGCAUGUUUGUGGAUUACACAGAUUUGAACAAAGCUUGUCCGGCUGAUCCUUUUGCUCUCCCGCGUAUUGACCAGAUCAUUGAUGCGACGGCGGGUUGUGAGUGUUUGAGUUUUUUGGAUGCUUAUUCAUGCUAUCAUCAGAUCAAAAUGCCAGUUAAGGACCAGGAGAAGACCGCCUUCAUCACUCCCUUUGGAGCCUUCUGCUAUGUUUCUAUGCCCUUUGGGCUCAAGAGUGCCCAUGCAACUUAUCAGCGUUAUUUGCAGAAUUGUCUUCAUACUCAGAUUGGGCGCAAUGUUCAUGCCUAUUUUGAUGACAUUGUGGUAAAAUCCAGGAAGAAGGAGACACUGAUAGAUGAUCUCAAGGAGACCUUUGACAAUCUGCGGGUUUACAAGAUGAUGCUCAAUCCGGACAAGUGUGUCUUUGGUGUUCCGGCAGGCAAGCUUCUAGGCUUUCUGGUGUCCAACAGAGGCAUUGAGGCUAAUCCGGAGAAGAUCAAAGCGAUUACAUCUUUGGCUAAACCGGCAUGCAUCAAUGAUGUUCAGCGUCUGGCAGGGCGGAUUGCAGCCCUAAGCCGGUUUAUCAGCCGUUUGGGAGAGAAGGCAAUCCCUCUAUAUCAGAUGUUGAAGGAAACAGACACCUUUGUCUGGAGUGAUGCGGCUAAUGCGGCGUUUGAAGACUUGAAGCGGCAGUUGGCUGAACCGCCGGUCCUUGCUGCUUCGGUUGACAGGGAGCCCUUGUUGUUAUAUGUGGUUGCUAAUGCUCGUGCUGUCAGUGUGGCAAUUGUGGUGGAGCGCAAGGAGGCUGGUAAGGAGUACCCGGUUCAACGGCCGGUUUACUAUAUCAGUGAGGUGCUUAUCGAGUCAAAGCAGCGAUAUCCGCAUUGGCAGAAGCUAGUAUAUGGGGUUUUUAUGGCAAGUCGGAAGCUCAAACAAUAUUUCCAAGGCCAUCCCAUUACGGUUGUCAGUUCAGCUCCGUUGGGUGAUAUAAUUCAGAACAGGGAAGCAACUGGCCGGGUUGCAAAAUGGGUAAUUGAACUUGGUCCACAUGGUUUGAAGUAUGUGCCUCGAACAGCCAUAAAAUCUCAAGCACUUGUGGAUUUCAUCAAUGACUAGACCGAGUUACAAGCACCAGAGGACAAACCGGAUAGUACAUACUAGACGAUUCAUUUUGACGGAUCCAGGCAAUUGGAGGGCUCGGGGGCUGGAGUUGUUCUUACUUCCCCUCGAGGUGAUAAGAUUCGUUAUGUCCUCCGCUUAAUGUUCCCCUGUACUAACAAUGCAGCUGAAUACGAGGCUCUGCUCCAUGGGCUCCGAGUGGCCAAGGAGAUGAAUUUAAGCCGGGUACGAUGCUUUGGAGAUUCUGAUCUGGUGGCUCAACAAGUUUUUGGCACUUGGGAUUCUAAGGAUCCACUCAUGGCGGCUUACAGACGUGAGGUGGAUAUUGUGGCGGGUUACUUCAAAGGGUAUCAGGUUGAGCAUACCGAUCGGCAUAAAUGAAGCAGCAGAUCCUUUAAGCCGGCUUGGAUCUCAGCGUAAACCGGUACCUCCCAAUACCUUUUUAGAUAUUUUGCAUAACCCAUCUGUUAAGUUACCUACAGAGGAGGAUUUGGUUGUUCCUGAUCCGAAGGCUCAAUUGGUGGCCGCUUUACACGUUGUGCCGGAUUGGACGGUUCCAUAUUUGGCGUAUAUGAACCGGGGCGAGUUACCAGAUGAUGAAGUCCUGGCUCGGCAGAUAGUCCGGCGGUCCAAGUCCAUGGUUAUUCACAAUGGCGAGUUACACCACUGCAGCAUUUCAGGCGUAUUUCAGCAUUGUGUUUCUCCGGAAGAAGGCCAAGAGAUCCUACGGGAAAUUCAUGAAGGGGAUUGUGGUCAUCACGCCGGUUCAAAGUCCCUGGUUGCAAAAGCUUUUCGUCAUGGAUUCUACUGGUUGACAGCUCAUGCUGAUGCGGAGGAUUUGGUAAAGCGAUGUGACGCUUGUCAAAAGUUUUCACGCAGAGCUCAUGUUCCGGCUCAAGAAUUAAGGAUGAUUCCCAUCACUUGGCCUUUUGCCACUUGGGGGCUUGACAUGGUAGGACCCUUUAAACGCUCCAAGGAUAAGAAGACCCACCUGCCGGUGGCAGUUGACAAGUUCACCAAGUGGGGGAGCCAGUUAGCAAGUGUGAUGCGGCUACGGCGGUUCAAUUUCUCAAAAAGAUUAUCUUCCGCUUUGGCUUUCCACACAACAUCAUUAUGGACAAUGGCACAAACCUCCCUAAGGGUGAGAUGGAAGAUUUUUGCCAGAGAGAACACAUCCAGCUUGACUUAGCAUCCGUGGCGCACCCCCCAGACCAAUGGUCAAGCGUAGAGAGCUAAUCAAGAAAUCUUGAAGGGUAUUAAACACCGGCUUAUGGUUCCUUUAAAGCAGACGCCGGGUUGUUGGGUGGAAGAAUUACCUUCUGUGUUAUGGAGCAUCAACACCACCCCCAACAGAUCGACGGGUUACACGCCUUUCUUUAUGGUGUAUGGGGCAGAGGCGGUCCUCCCAAGUGAUAUUUGUCACGAUUCGCCCCGGGUUGCUAAUUAUGUUGAAGUGGACAAUGAGCAAGCAUGCCAAGAGGCGUUGGACCUGUUAGAUGAAAAACAAGAUAUGGCUUUAGCCCGUUCAGCGGUUUACCAGCAAGACGUGCGGCGUUAUCAUAGCCGUCGGGUUAGGUCAAGAACCUUUCAAGAAGGCGAUUUGGUGCUCCGUCUCAUCCAGGAUCAGACCGACAUCCACAAGUUAUCCCCACCUUGGGAAGGACCCUUUGUGGUCAGCAAAAAUCUGCACAAAGGAUCAUACUACCUCAUUGAUGUUCGAGACAACUCACGCACUUCUAAGGAGGAGACUCGGCGGCCGUGGAACAUAGCUCUCCUACGGCCUUACUACACCUGAGCCCUAGGCUUUUCUUAUGUACAUAUUUCGACAAUGUAUAUAUUAUGAUCAAUAAAAUAAAUCAACAUCCUUGCUAUAAGCAGGGCCUCUCCUAUUUUUUCUCAAAUAUCCUUUGAGUUACAUGGGGGCUUCAGCUAACAAAGCGGAGUACUACCUGUUAAACCGGCUAUCAGACCACCAUACAGCUUGGGAGCUUCACACCCAAGGGGCCAAAGAGAGUCUGGAUGCUAUGCACAGCUCAAACAUAGGCACCCAAUGAGCACAGCUCAUCACGUUACUUGGGGGCUCUUUGUGUAAAGUAACAAAGAGUUUGAAAGGACCCUUGUAGCUGGGUAUUGACCCACGGCCUGGAAGCCUGGUAUAUUUACCUAAAACCCUGGGUUAACCUGCCUUCAUCAAGUAAGCCACUCCUAUCCAGGUAAUCCUGGCACGACCCUCCGAACGUUUGACAGUUACUCUCAUUGAGACCUUGAACUUGUCAAAGUUAAAACGGUGAUUGGUUAGUUGGAGGCCCAUCUUAAAAGGAUUUGUCAAAUGGUUUAACUCAGCGGCCUGGCAGCCCAUGAAAAGCCUCGAAUUUGGGCCUGGCAGCCCUCGAAAAGCCUCGACUACACGGUUUUAUUCGCACUUGUCACUAUUUUUCUCUUGAUGACUUUUUGUUAAACCGGUAUCUUUGAUCUGGUAUGGCUUUUCAGUCAUCAUAUUAACCUGGUGUUUGUUAACCCAGCUUGGAUCUUAGCUAAAAGUUGACGAACCUUAUUAUUAAACCGGAGUUUAUUAACCCGGCCUGGCUUUGACUACUUGUCGCCAGUUUUGCUCAUCUGGUGUUCAUCGUAACCCGGCAUGACUUCUUAUACACCAUCAGUACAAGGUGAAGUUGUACAAAAAUUCAAGAUUUGGGUCUUUACCCUUAUUACAAUCAAAGUUGGUAAACCAACUAACGUGAUAUCACAUCACAUGUAUGAGCUAUUUCAUAUUUCUUAAAGUUUGGUUAUCAAUGAGGCUUUGUCUUGGGCAUUAUGACCCGUCCGGCGGUAAACCGCCAGGACAAUUCUUUUAUGCAGACAUAGGGAUUGCAUGUUAUGAUAUAUGAGCCAACAUUGAAAUUUUCAUGAGGGAUCACAUAAAGUUUUUCCCAUUGCACGAUGGCAGCAGAUCAACGUAUUUUUGCUACCCUAUUACAAGGCACCUAAACAGCCCAAAAUAUGGAAUUGUCUUAAACCGGACAGUUUUGUGCAAUAUCAACCGGAUUGCCGGAUCAAGCAUCAUCGCCAUGUUGACGUGAAGUAGACGGGUCAUCUGGCGUCGGUUCAACCUCCUCCUCCCCAUCCAGUGGUUGGAAGUCAGCGGUGGUCCAGUCAAUCCGGCUUAAGGCCUGAAAGACAGCCUCUUCACUUAUAAGAUCAGUCGGAUCAACGUCAGGGGCGUAAGUGUGCUUACGGAUUGGCGGAAUAAGAUUUUGCACUUCUGGGAUGACAGCCUCAACCCGUUUGUUGUCAGCAUCAUAGAAGGACCGGUGAACCGUCAAGUUUGCUUCUUCUGCCAACUGACUCGCCAGAGGACGCAUCUCCCUUGUCACACGUUUGAGGGCGUCGUUAUCAAACACUGCCCCAUUUUCCUGUUCACUGGGAAAGCCCUUGGCAAUAUCAACCGGAUCAAGGUCAGCUAUCCAUGCCUUGGCUCGGGUCAGUGCUAACAAAGCGCCAGCCCUGGCGGCGGAUCGUUUCACCUCUUCUAUCUGAGCUGGCGUCGUAGAUAACUUAGCCAAAGUGUCCUUGAUCAGUGUUGGGGCCGCAUUUUCAUAAGAAGUUGCACAGAUAACCCGUUGGGCACUGGUAUACAACUGUUCAAUCAGCGUAUAGGCGGCCUUGGGCUUCCUCCGCAUAUCAGAGCCCAGCUGAGCAAUGCGGCCACCUACAGCGGUUUAAGGAUUUCACGUUAAACCAGCAAAAUUUCAAAGCAGAAUAUUCAUAAAGCAUUUCCCAACGGUACUUACCAAAUACUGCAGAAGUCAUAGCAUUGACUUGGCGCUUUAAUCCAGUAAGCUCUUUCGCCACCGGUUUAAGAGCCGAUUCAGCGUCUUCCGCCCGCUUCAGCAAUCCAGCCUUUUCGGUAUCCCAGUUGGCCCGUUCAGACUUGAACCACUCUUUGAGUUGUUCCAUGGUGGUUAAGGCGGUUUUCAAAUCAUCCCUGGCCUUGGUGGUUUCCGCUUGUUGGGAUUUCAAAUUUUCUUGAAGAUCAGCAAUCUGAGAGACUUGUUGAUUUAUCUCACUGUGUAACAGUAAGAAGAGCAUGUCAAUACCUUUUUUGGAAAGUCCCAAGCAUAUAACUAGUUAUACACUUGGCACUUGGGGGCUAAUGUGGAUCACUUUUUUCUAUUGAAUUAUUGAAGUCCCACGGAUUAAUACAAGUUUUAAUCAUGGCACUUGGGGGCUAAUGUGUGUUUGAUCAAAAAUACACAAGGAAGAUCAACAAAGUACAUUAGAAUAUACAAAGUCCCGGUUUGAAUUUCUAAAAAGACAAACCGGCCCUUGGGGGCUACAAUGCAAUGAAGGUAUAGAGUAAAGGAUCAAACGGUUUACCUCAUAGCGCUCCUUCAUCAAAUUUACCAAACCGGCCUCAUAGUCUCGGCUGGUGAAGAGACAGUUUAAGAAGCCAGAAUGAAGGUCCUGAGUAGAUAAAUCAGCAUAGUCUGACAGGUCGGUUUUGCUUUUCCCCUUGUUCAUAAAUGCAAAUUCAUCCUUGGCGGAAUGCUUGGAUAAAGCAACUGGGUUGCCUAGGGUGGUAUAUGCCGUGCAAGUAAUAACAAUGUCAUCAUCCUUGGCGGGGCUUGAUGGAUUGACAUUCUCCUUAGCGAGGCUUGGCGCUUUGGCAGCAGGGCUCGGUGGUUUGGUAACAGGACUUGGCGGAUCAGCAGUUGGACUUGGAGGGGUGGCAUCAGGAGUUGAUGUAUCACCUUGUGUCUCCGGAUCAUCUUCUGGCGGAAUAGCAUCAGCGCCUGGAUUUUGCGGAGCAGAGUGGUCUGUGGCAGUCUCGGGAUUUUCGCCCUCAUUUUCUAGGGUCUUCUUCGGAUCAACAUCGUCAGUGUGGCCGCUGGUCUUGGCUUUUUUACUCAAUCCGGCCUUGGCGCUACAACAUCCAAAGUUAGAAUAUGAUAAACCGACGCAGGGAGAAACAACUUGAGAAAAUGUGCUUACCCAGCGACGAUCUUGAGGGGAGGCAACUGAGUGGUUGAUGAACCGCCAGACGAGUUGGAAGAUGCCUUAUAAUUCAGAUCAGACGGUUUGAGUGGGCAUCGGAGGAAACCCUUCAAAGGAUAAAGUUUUUCAGGAGAACAAGUAACCUCUGGACGUUGUUUCCGGGUUGGUGUAUCUGGUAAACCGGACGAGGUGAUUUGCUGGCCACUUUGCCGGGUUGUGCGACGUUCUGCAGCUUCCUGUGUCUUCAAAGAAAAUUUUGGAUCCAAAUGAGCAAGGGGGUGAGAUUGUCUUACUUUCCGAACUGUGCGGCGAACUCUUUGAACCGGCACAAGAUCUGAAUCGGAAGAAAGAGUGAUUACCUCAGCACUGUCUGCAUGGCUGGCCUUAGCGUCCUCCUGGGAACAAUCAUUGUCAAUGAGAUGUAUGAAUAAGGAAUCAAGUAAAUCAAGCUCUACCUCUAGGUCUGAUUCCUCAUCUUCUGGCGGAUUAGAAGACUCGACGGUUUUCUUCUUGGAAAUUUUCUUGUUGGUCUUAGUCUUUGCACGAGGAGCCCUGGCCGGUUUAGUCCGCUCCAGAAGGAGCUAUUGGCCUGUAAUAUUAAGACAAAGAAAUGUUAGCACAUAGUUAAAGCGGAGGCGAAUUAGUAAAUAUUAAGAUAAACUUUACCGCUGGUGGAGGAUUGGAGACGCAAAAAGGUGCCAACCCGGUUUGACUGCAUGCAGAGAUUGUUUCAUCGAGCAUCUUCUUCGCAGAUUCAGUGACUUCAAGGUCCGUCACUACUACUUCAUGGUAGCGUUGAGGGUCUUUGACGUUGCCAGUAUAUUCAUGCAUCAAUCCGGGGCGGCAGCUUAAAGGCAAAAUACCCCAAGAUACCCAGCAGCGGACAAGGUCAAUGCCAGUCAAACCGUUGGCCAUGAGAGCCCGGAGCUUGGCGAUUUGAGGUGCAAAGUUUUUCCGUUCCGCGGCGGACAAGUGUGAAGGUAAUGGGUGACUGUUGCUAAGUCAUUGAGGGCGGUAACCCGACAAGGGAUUUUCUCCAUCAGGGGCAGUGUUCCGGCAAUAAAACCAAGUUUGGUUCCAAUCCUUCGGGUGGCUAUGAUGCUUUGCAUGAGGGAAGUCAACUUCUUUCCUCUUCUGAAUUGAAGCACCACCAAGUUAUGUGUUGGGACCAUCAAAGAACUCUGUACGGCGGUUUAAGUGGAAAAAAUCCCGGAACAACUCCACAGAUGGCUCUUCUUGAAGAUAGACUUCGCAGAAUACUUGAAAGUUGCAUAUAUUGGACACGGAGUUCGGUCCAAUAUCUUGUGGAUGGAGUUGGAAGCUUGCGAGGACAUCCCGGAAAACAUUUGAUCCGGGUGGACUGAAUCCCCGGUCUAAGUGUUGCAUAAAUACAAUCACUUCUCCCUCUUGAGGUUCAGGAGGGCAUUCAGAAUCCGGAACACGCCAAUGAAGGACCCUUUUGGAGGCUAAAGCGCCAGUGGUGACAUAUCCAUUGAUUUUCAUCUCAGUGAUCUUGGACGGAACCCAAUUGCAGGCAGAGAAUUGUUUGGCCAUUCCGGAAGAAAAACUGUGAAAGGAAAAGUAAGGGCCGGUUUACAAUUAACGGUUUACGCAUAUUAUUCAGUGUUAAACCGGCAAAUUGCCAUUCAAUUUGAGUGACCGGUUUAAGAGAGGGCUAAUGGUAUAUGGCGGAUUGGUUAUCAAAGGUUAAACCGCCCGCAGGCAGAAGGGCCUGGGUUCAAAAUCUGCUAAGUGUUGACAGAAACAGAUUUCACACAUCGACGGAAUUAAUUUGGAUCUACCAAAGCUUCAGUAAUAAAAAAAUUAUGCGAUCUAUAAAGGCUUUAAACAGAGCGGAGAAGUUCGUGCGUUCUAUCAAGGGAUUCUGUACAAAAAGGAAGAUCUACUAAGUGCUAAACUGAAUGCGGAGCAACCACCGCACGAGAUUUAUGCUACAGUUGAAUCAAAGAAGCUAUGGCAGAAGCGAAUACGAAGAAACUAGGGACGAACACCUAUGAACGCAGAUGAAAACAGGAGCCCUAAAGUACAGAUCAAGGGGUAUGAGGGAGAAGUUUACCGGAUGCGCAGGAUAGCGGAGGAACGCCGAAGAUCUCUUGUACAACCAGGUUGAUGCAGCGGCCUUUGUUGACGCGGCGUUCGAAGGUCGAGGGCGGCGGCGGAGCUUCAGAGCUAGGGCGUCGCGAGGAAGAAGAAGUGCAGAAGGGGAAGAAAAGAAAGGGCCCCCGGGCUUAUUUAUAAUAAGGCAGAGGAUAAAUGACAGGCGCGAGAAUUGAGGAGCCCGAAACAGCGAGUGGCGCAGCUGUCGCCUCGAUUUCCGGGAUGACAUUAAAUGAAGGGAAUCUUUUUAUUCAUUUUUACAGAUGACGUCAUGAUGAUCUGUUGCUGUGUCCAGAGGAUGACGUCAUGGCGGUUUAACAAGAUCUAAAGGGAAGACAUCAUGGUGGUUUACGAGAAAUGAAGGAAGAUGUUCAUAGGGUUUUCUCUAAAGUGUUGAAGAUUGACAUGAACAGGUUCAAAUCAAUCUGGGGCCUAAUGUUGGGGAUAUAACUACUGAGUGUAAACCGCCCAGGAGGGGCCGGUUCACCCCCAACUAUAUUGAAGCCCACGAAGACUCAGAAGAUGGCGCUUUACUAUGAAACUUAGAGGCCCGGAGCCCAAAGGCGGAUUAGGGCCCAUAAUGGUAAACCGCCAUAGUCAUGUAACUUGUGUUGUAAGAUAAGGAAAGGAGAGACCGAGCUGAACACUUGUACGAGUCGGCCUCGGGACUCUGUAGACCGGUCGGGCGUCAACCCGUGUAUAUAAGGGGACGGCCCGGCGGCGGUUCAGGGACAAGAAACACAACUCGAUAGCCAGGCAUAGCUUGUUUAGCUUCCUCGUUAGCGAGACCCCAAUAAUCCCAUCACAACUAGACGUAGGACUUUACCUUCAUCGAAGGGGUCGAACUAGUAUAAAAUCCCUCGUAUCCUUUGUCCGGUUUAACCCCUUUAAGCUAACCCGUUGCAAUUGCUCCACGACUAAGUCCUUACACGAGGACAUCUGACGUGAUAUUUCCACGACACAUGAGCUGUGUUUUUUGUCCCGCAACGCCGCCCGAGCUGCCCGUAGACCGAUCGGCGACCCGCAAGUUACGCCAUCCAACCGGACGAAAUUCACACAAACACGUAGACAAACUGAUAUUUCAUACAAACAACGACAGAAAUCACAUAAAAUACCAGAUUUUCAUACAAACAUGACGGAAUUCAUUACAUUCAAAUGAACUACGCGGUGCUAGUUCUGGACAGCACAGGUAUAUAAUACCUGGCCUAAAUGGUCGCCAGCUGAUCGAUUUGUGUUCCUGAUGUCCGGCAGCACGAUCACCGGACUAUCGGGAGCCCUGGAGGUAUAUGCUUCAGCGCAAAGGACGGCUUGCUUCCCCACUGCCCAACUGAUAUCAUUGGCUGGUGCCAAAGAUGAUGGUGGCCGGCACCGGUCCGAGUUCAUUACUGGCCACUACUUCGCCAUGGCCGGCACCAGCUCGAGUUCAUCCUAACAUUCCCCUCUUCCGUGGAGCCCAUGCAGGGUCGACGAAGGUCCUCGCAACAAAAGGAUCCGGCAAGACACCUAUUUUGUACGCCGGCGUCGCCUCCACGGUGGCCUUCAUGGGACCCAAGUGGCGGCGGCCUGCCAUGUUCUACUUCUCCUCAAUGAUGGCGGCGGACGCGGAGGCGCUGGCCACCGACUCGUGGCUCUCCGUGCACCCGGCUUCUAUCGCUGCUUGCAUGGCUCGGCCGCCGGCAUGGGAGUCUUGGCCACAGAAACAGGAGACGUGGUACGAGGCGGUGGCGUGGACGGCAGCAACGAUGCCCGUGCGCCUCUUCUUGUCGAGCUCGCCUAGAGCGGUGAGUUGCUGAAGCGUGCGCCGGCUUGGGGCGGCAACUGGCUCCUUCGGGCGAGGGGAGGGAGGUCGAUCUGCGAGCUGCAUAGCUCGUAUCUGGCGGGCUACCCAGCCGACUUGGAUGCGGAAUAACUACUCUUCGUAAGCCAUUGUAAGAGUGGACAAAAUGGUCGAGGAGAUAGGGGAGCGGCGGAGGUGUCGAUUCUUGGCCGGCGUUUGGCCUCGUUUAAAUAGGAUAUUAAAUAGACGGCAGACGGGAGGAGCUCAGCUGGCGUUGCGUUUAACGCCGGCCCGGUCAUGAACGGACGUGUGUCCAGAGUGGGUUUCUCGGCUUCCACAUGGGCGGGUUUCAUGGAAGCGUUUGAAUGCGGCAUGGAGGCGUGUUCAGCCGGGUGUGCAGCGACUGGCGCCCUCGAUUCUGACCUAGGACAACGCACCGUUCUUCCACUGAUGUGUGGGCUCUUUGGGUGCAUGGCCUGCAUGUCAGUGACCCAACGCAGGCAGCGCACAACAGAGGAACCUUUGGUGGGCCAGGGCGGUCAGAAGCGGGCAUUUCAUAAAUCGAUGAUUGUUCAUUGAGUGUGAUGUCAUCUUUUUCAUGUAGAUAAGCCUACUUUGUUGAUAGCCCGUUCGAUACGUUGUGAUUCAUAAAGACCGCUGCAAACAUCAGUGUUCUGCUUAUCACAGAUAAGAUUGAUUAAUACCCGUAACAAUCCAUGUCCUUAACAAAGGGUGCAUGCACGUAUAGGUUGAGCGUGUGUCUUGUGUUGUGUGUUGUGUGCAUGCACGCGUGCGAGUGUUGCGUGCGUGCAAGGGUACGUUUUAGUGUUGCAUGCAUGGGUGCGUACGUGCAUGUGUUCGUGAGUGCAUGUGUACGUGUCAGUGUUGCACACUAGCAUGUGUGCGUGUGUACGUGUCAGUGUUGCACGCCUGCAUGCGUGCGUGUCUUGCGUGCGUGCAUGUGUAUGUUAUGUGUACGUGUCAGUGUUGCAUGCCUGCGUGCGUGCGUGUCUUGCGUGUGUGAAUGUGUACGUGCAGGGUGAGGCUACACGUCAGUCGACUGACUUUUUCAUCUCUGGUCAUUAGAUUUUCCAGCCGUUGGAUACGAAAUCAAGGGCCUCCAGUUUAUCAUCAAACUCCACCCCCCCUGAGCCGCCAGCCCCCGCCGGCCCGCCCUCCCUGNNNNNNNNNNNNNNNNNNNNNNNNNNNNNNNNNNNNNNNNNNNNNNNNNNNNNNNNNNNNNNNNNNNNNNNNNNNNNNNNNNNNNNNNNNNNNNNNNNNNNNNNNNNNNNNNNNNNNNNNNNNNNNNNNNNNNNNNNNNNNNNNNNNNNNNNNNNNNNNNNNNNNNNNNNNNNNNNNNNNNNNNNNNNNNNNNNNNNNNNNNNNNNNNNNNNNNNNNNNNNNNNNNNNNNNNNNNNNNNNNNNNNNNNNNNNNNNNNNNNNNNNNNNNNNNNNNNNNNNNNNNNNNNNNNNNNNNNNNNNNNNNNNNNNNNNNNNNNNNNNNNNNNNNNNNNNNNNNNNNNNNNNNNNNNNNNNNNNNNNNNNNNNNNNNNNNNNNNNNNNNNNNNNNNNNNNNNNNNNNNNNNNNNNNNNNNNNNNNNNNNNNNNNNNNNNNNGACUGGUCAAUUGAUCGUGUUAUCAACAAAUUAUGGAGCUGUAUGGUGAGCCAGUGACCGUAUGAUCACCCUAAAAUGUACUCCUAUUUUAUUAACACAGUACAGACUCAAACUACCAUUUCUUUCUUUCAUAUACGGGCUGAUAGGUGGGCCCCACGGUUACGCGCCCCGAUGGUGCAACACUAGUUGUGCCGCGUGGAACGUUUGACUGGUCAAUUGAUUGUGUCAUCAACAAAAUACGGAGUUGUGCGGGUGAGCCAGUGACCAUAUAAUCAUGACAUGUAUUUGUUUAACACGGUACAGACGCAAGGGCUCAUAUAUACGCGCAAGCACUCACCGCUAUAAGCGCACACAUGCGAACCCUACCCCUAUGAGCACCUUCGAGAGAGUGGGCCAGCAUAUAUGAUCUUGAGAUUUUAGGAAGUCACCAUAGGUGCCUCAUAGUCGAGUGGAACGUCUCCUCCCACUGAACGUGCAUCGCCGGAAAAUACUGAAAUUAACACAAGAUAAAUGCGAGCACCGGGACUUUAACCUUGGUGGGCUCGAGAAACCACUGUCCUCCUAACCAUCCAACCACAUGUUGGUUAGCACGACAAAAUGUAUGUGGUGACCGUGAUGAGCUUAUUCUGAAGUCCAGUGACCAUAUCGUGCUUUCGCUUCAAAUACAAUGACUGUAAGUGUUGUCAACAAAAUACGGAACACGCAUCAAAUGCAAAGUCUGUCAGUGUCAUCAACAAAAUAUGGAGACGUAUCGUGAGCUAGAUACUGUUGUACUAUUGUAUAUGCUUAUUUUCUUAGUGGCCGAUUGCGUGUGUGGUGUGGUGGGCACAUCAUUUCUAGUUGUGGUGGGUCAACAUGAAGACUCAUGGGUCGGUUCCAUCCUGCGCCAGAUAUAGGUUGGACCGAGACAUGUUAUACGAAGACCCAUGUGGAGGACUCGGCGUACAACACGAAGCUACCAGAGUCGCGGAGGACUCUAUCCCCACUGGUGAUAAGCUGACUAUAUAUGAUUCGUAACCCUAGGCCCUUAGUAUGUUAUACAAGCUUGGGGGCUAGUUCGUCGAUAGUAUACACACACGCACAAUGCCUGGUAUUCACGUGUACUUUGUACACACCCCUAUCACUAAUAUACAGUACCAGGAGUAGGCUCUUUCUACAACUGCAAGGGUCUGAUCCGAACUAGGGUAAAACUUUGCCUCGUAUUACCAUCCAGCCUAACAGCCAGGGAUAUCCUACCGAGUGAUAUGAUGAAAUCAUAUUUACCAACUACUAAGAGAGAGGUGUGUCAAGGGGGCAACGUGUGCGAGAGAGGCCUAAAGAUAAUGUGUGUGCGGGAGACACGUAGGCACAUAUAUGUGCGUAUAGAGGGCUAGUAGAGACCGUGCAUGUGUAUAUAUGCAUGCGAGAGAAAUAGUGUUUUCCAACUGAGAUUAGUGAGAAGAGUGGUACAUAGUAGUCAGAAAGAGAGAGAGAGAGAGAGAGAGAGAGAGAGAGAGAGAGAAACAGAGAGAGAGUGAGACACCUCGACACCCUGAGAGAGAUUGUGAGCAUGUGUGAAAGAGAAAUACCAUGCAUAUAAAGUGUGUGCACUUAUGCGUUAGAUAGAGAGAUAUAUAACGCGUUUGUGAGAAUGGGGCGAGGCAUAGUGCAUCUACAUGUAAAAGGCGGUUCUAUGCAUUAAAUUAAAAUAUAAAUGGCAUUAUUAUUUUUGGAUGAGAUCAUGAAUUUUGCAAAUUGCAUAUGGACGAAAAUCGUUCUAUCAGACACCCAUACUCUAUUGAAUUCUAGCAUGUGCAUGUGUUUAUUUCAUAUUAUCGAUCCAUAGAGUGAGAGCGGUUUGAAAUACAGGCAAUGGAUGCAUUUCCAAUUCAUAUAUAAACAUUAAUUAGUGCACUCCAUGUUGUUAGUGUGAAGCACUUUAUACAUUUGUCACUUGCAUGGAUACAUUCCAAAUUGCUAGCUACGAAAUAGAAUACAUGUCGAAUUCAACAUAAAGGGGGUUUCGAAGAUUCGAAUUCAUAGGAAGUGCAUUCUUCUAUUUGAACCCGAGAUAAUGGCAUUUGUAAAUCAGAUGUAAAAGGGGGCAUCAAUCUUUGUUGUGAGUUUGAACAUGCUAUAUAUAUUCAUACGCAUAUCUAACUUUUUAUUUUUUGCAACCAAGGAGAUUAUAUCUGGAACCAUGCAUGAACUGAGGUAAGUUGCAUAUUUUUUAAUGUAUAUUCAAAUGUACCCCCUCCAUUCCAAAAUAAUCGUAGCUUUAGGAUUUUCAAGAGUAAAGAUUUGUGAAGUUUGACAAAUCCUGACAGUUCAAUUCAAGAGAACCGAAAACGUUAAUGCUUCUACUCCCAAAUAUUGAACGAAGCGCCAAAUAGGCCUAUGGCCACCCGAGACCGCGCGAGACUAAUGUUUGGUGGUAGGAAAUUAUUGUCCUGACUCUGGCCCGUGUAGCCUAUUGGCCCGAUGUCCAAAGGUCUAAACCGGGGUAGGUUUGUAACUUCACCAAGACGCCAGUCUCAACCGCCUCCGAGAAGCAUUCAUACGCCGUGGGCGCCUAAACACCCAUGCGCUCGGCCGAAAUCUAUCCCGCCCACAUUUGGGACACCUGACAUGACUGUCCUACCCCCAACCCGCAAUAUGUCCAAAAUUUUAGAUGGGGGAAAAGUUUGUAACUUUCCCCAAAUUUCAAACAAGCGCGUCUCAAACUGAAACAUUGUUCCCCCUUAGUUCCCCGCUGAUACGUCUCCAACGUAUCUAUAAUUUAUGAAGCAUUCAUGCUAUUUUAUUAUCUGUUUUGAAUGAUUAUGGGCUUUAUUAUACACUUUUAUAUUACUUUUGGGACUAUUAACCGGAGGCCCAACCCAUAUUGUUGUUUUAUUGCCUGUUUCAGUAUUUCGAAGAAAAGGAAUAUCAAACGGAGUCCAAACGGAAUGAAACCUUCGGCAAAGUUAUUUUUGGAACAGAACCAAUCCCAGGAACUUGGAGUGCAAGCCAGGGGAUCAUCGAGGAGGCCACGAGACAGGGGGGCACACCCACUCCCCCUGGGCGCGCCCUGCCCUCUCGUGGGCCCCUCGAGGCUCCCCCGACUGACUUCUUUCGCCUAUAUAUUCCCUCGUACCCUAAAAACAUCGAAUAUCAAGAUAGAUCGGGGGUUCCGCCGCCGCAAGCCUCUAUAGCCUCCAGAAACCUCUCGGGAGCCCUUCCUGGCACCCUGCCGGAGGAGGAAUCCUUCAUCGGUGGCCAUCUUCAUCAUCCCGGCGCAAUCCAUGAUGAGAAGGGAGUAGUUCACCUCGGGGCUGAGGGUAUGUACCAGUAGCUAUGUGUUUGAUCUCUCUCUCGUGUUCUCCCUCAUGUUCCCUCUAUGGCACGAUCUUGAUGUAUCCCGAGCUUUGCUAUUAUAGUUGGAUCUUAUGAUGUUUCUCCCCCCUCUACUCUUUUGUAAUGGAUUGAGUUUUCCCCUUUGAAGUUAUCUUAUUGGAUUGAGUCUUUUAUGAUUUGAGAACACUUGAUGUAUGUCUUGCCGUGAUUAUUUGUGGUGACAAUGGGAUAUCAUGUGCCACUUGAUGUAUGUUUUGGUGACCAACUUGCGGGUUCUGCCCAUAAACCUAUGCAUAGGGGUUGGCACACGUUUUCGUCUUGACUCUCCGGUAGAAACUUUGGGGCACCCUUUGAAGUACUUUGUGUUGGUUGAAUAGAUGAAUCUGAGAUUGUGUGAUGCAUAUCGUAUAAUCAUGCCCAUGGAUACUUGAGGUGACAAUGGAGUAUCUAGGUGACAUUAGGGUUUUGGUUGAUUUGUGUCUUAAGGUGUUAUUCUAGUAUGAACUCUAUGAUAGAUUGAGCGGAACGAAUAGCUUCAUGUUAUUUUACUAUGAACUCUUGAAUAGAUAGAACAGAAAGGAUAACUUUGAGGUGGUUUCAUACCCUACCAUAAUAUCUUCGUUUGUUCUCCGCUAUUAGUGGCUUUGGAGUGACUCUUUGUUGCAUGUUGAGGGAUUGUUAUAUGAUCUAUUUAAGUUAUUAUUGUUGAGAGAACUUGCACUAGUGAAAGUAUGAACCUUAGGCCUUGUUUCCUACCAUUGCAAUACCGUUUACGCUCACUUUUGUUACUUGUUACCUUGCUGUUUUUAUAAUUUCAGAUUACAAAUACCUUUAUCUACCAUCCAUAUUGCACUUGUAUCACCAUCUCUUUGCCGAACUAGUGCACCUAUACAAUUUACCAUUGUAUUGGGUGUGUUGGGGACACAAGAGACUCUUUGUUAUUUGGUUGCAGGGUUGUUUGAGAGAUACCAUCUUCAUCCUACGCCUCCUACGGAUUGAUAAACCUUAGGUCAUCCACUUGAGGGAAAUUUGCUACUGUCCUACAAACCUGUGCACUUGCAGGCCCAACAACGUCUACAAUAAGAAGGUUGUGUAGUAGACAUCAAGCUCUUAUCUGGCGCCAUUGCCAGGGAGGCUAGGUAAACGGCACUCACACCCCGUCAACUAAGCUCUUUUCUGGCGCCGUUGCCGGGGAGGUGAGUGCUUGAAGGUAUAUCUUUCGAUCUUGCAAUUGAAUCUUUUUGUUUCUUGUUUUAUCACUAGUUUAAUUUAUAAAAGAAAACUAUAAAAAAAUGGAGUUGAGUUUGUCUCAUACGCUUCAUCUUUUUAAUAUCUUUCAUGAGAAUGAUGGUAAAGAAAAUUGUGCUCAAGUGCUAGAAGAAGAAUGCAUUAAAUUGUUUGGAACUAAAUAUUUGAAUAAUGAGCAUGAUUGCAAUGUUUUUAGAAUGAAUUCCUUGAAUAUCCAUGAUGCUAAUGAUAUGCAAAGCCACAAGCUUGGGGAUGCUAUGUUUGAUGAAUAUGAUAUUUUUUGUCCCCCAAGUUUUGAUGAGAAUAUUUAUUAUGAUGAAAGCAUGCCUCCUAUUUAUGGUGAUUAUAUUGAUGAAAGUGGGUUUGGAAGAGUGUCAACUUUAGGUAGUAUUGAUCCCACUAUUUUGGAGGAUAUUGAAUCUUAUUGUGAUGAAUAUGAAAGUGUAUUUGGAAGAGUGUCAACUUUAUUUAGUGAUGAUUCCACUAUUUUGGAAGAGGUUCCAAUUGAUUAUGAGAACAAAGUUGCUAUCCAUGAUGAUUAUUGUGAUGACUUGUAUGCUAUUCAGAAUAAUGAUAACCAUGAAACUUGUCAUCAUGAUUUUAGUUUUCAAUUGGAUUAUGCUUCACAUGAUAGUUAUUUCGUUGAGUUUGCUCCCACUACUUUUGAUGAGAAAAAAUUUGGUUAUGAGGAGAGUAGUAAAAUUUCUAUACUUGUAGAUCAUGAAAAGAAUGCUUUAGGUGCUGCUUAUAUUGUUGAAUUCGUUCAUGAUGCUACUGAAAAUUAUUAUGAGGGAGGAACACAUGCUUGUAGGAAUAGCAAUAAUAUCAAGUUUGCUCUGUAUGUGCUUAAAGUUUCAAAGUUAUGCUUGUUUUGCCUUCCUAUGCUAGUUGAUUAUUGUUCCCGUAAGUUGUUUGCUCAUAAAAUCCCUAUGCAUAGGAAGUGGGUUAGGCUUAAAUGGGCUAUUCAUAUUCUUCAUGAUGCUCUCUUUAUGUUUCAAUUCUUAUCUUUUAUGUGAGCAUCGUUGACAUCAUCAUGCCUAGCUAAAAAGGCAUUAAAGAAAAGUGCUUGUUGGGAGACAACCCAAUAUUUACCCUUACUGUUUUUGUGUGUCCACAUGAUUAUUAUACUGUAGUAAUCAUGUUUUAUAGCUUUUGUUUCAAUAAAGUGCCAGGUAGAGCCUUUGGGAAGACUUGGGUGAAGUCUAUAGGAUCUUGCUGUAAAAAACAGAAACUUUAGCGCUCACGAGAUUAGCUGCCAUUGUUUACUGGAGAGUGCUUUUAGGUUGAUUCUUUUUGCAGAUGAUUAAUAUACAAAUUCCUCAGGUCCACCAAUUUAUUUAAUAAUUGUUUGGUUUCCAUAAGUAUACAUUUGAUACAGAUUACUACAGACUGUUCUGUUUUUGACAGAUUCUGUUUUCAUUGUGUUGUUUGCUUAUUUUGAUGAAUCUAUGGCUAGUAUGUAAGGGUAUGAACCAUAGAGAACUUGGAAUAAAGUAGGUUUAACACCAGUAUGAAUAAAGAAUGUGUUCAUUACAGUACCUUAAAGUGGUGGUUUGUUUUCUUUUACUAACGGAGCUUACGAGUUUUGUUUUGAGUUUUGUGUGCUUGAAGUUAUCAAGUUUUGGGUAAAGUUCGAUGGACUAUGAAAUAAGGAGUGGCAAGAGCCUAAGAUUGGGGAUGACCAAGGCACCCAAGGUAAUAUUCAAGGACAACCAAGCAACUAAGCUUGGGGAUGCCCCGGAUGGCAUCCCCUCUUUCGUCUUUGUUCAUCGGUAACUUUACUUGGAGCUAUAUUUUUAUUCACCACAUGAUAUGUGUUUUGCUUGGAGCGUCAUUUUCUCGUGUUAGUAUUUGCUUUAUGUUAUUUAUAAUAAUGUUUUGCAUCUUUAUUUUCAAUAAAAAUGUCAAGGAUAGCCUUUACCAUGCUUAUUUUGCUAGUAUACAUGUUGCUGUUUGAAAACAGAAAGUUUACCGCUGUUGCAAAAAUUCCCUAGAAAAGUACGAGAGUGAUAUAAUGUUGAAUCUUUUUGCAUAUUGAGAUAUGAUAAAUAUUUUACAGCAUAGUAUUUUUCUUAUAAUUUUUGGAGUUAGGGAAGUAUGAUGAAUCUUGCAUUCUUUACAGACUAUACUGUUUUGGCAGAUUGCUGUUAUGUUUGCAUUGUUUGCAUAUGUUUGCUUGUUUAAUGAUUCUAUUUGAGGAUAGGAGUAUUAAAUAUGCAGAGACAUUUAGUAUUCAAUGUUAGUGAUUUGUUACAGUAGAAAAUGAUAAGGUUUUGCAUUGGUUUAUACUAACCUAUCUCACGAGUUCUUGUUGAGUUUGGUGUGGAUGAAGCUUUUGAUAAAAAGGGAAACCGUGAUAUGAGAGGAAUUAAGGAGACACAAAAGCUCAAGCUUGGGGAUUCCCAAGGCACCCCAAGAUAAUAUUUCAAGAAGUCUCCAGCAUCUAAGCUUGGGGAUGCCCCGGUAGGCAUCCCACCUUUCUUCUUCAACAACUAUCGGUUAGUACCGGUUGAACCUAAGUUUUUGCUUCUUCACAUGAGUUGUGCUAUCCUUGCAAUGUCAUUUUGUUUUGCUUUGCUUGCUGUUUAAAGAAAAUACCAAGAUCUGAAAUUCUUUAUUGAGAGAGAGUCUUCAUAUAGCUACAUAAUUAUUUAACUACUCACUGAUCUUCACUUAUUUCUUUUUGUAGUAGUUUUUCAUUUACUCGUGUGCUUCACUUAUAUCCUAUGAGUAAAUGGUUGAAUGAGUUGAAUGUCAUAGACCUGAAAUUAUAUAUGUCUCAUUCGCUUAUCCCAUGGGGAGUAGUGACUUCACAUCUAAGAAGUAGAGGUUGUAAACUUAUUGACGGUUAGCAAGCAUUGUAUUGGUCAUUUGAACAAUUCAUGAAAGAAUAUUGAAGGAAGAGAGAUUUUACAUAUAAAUAUAUUAUCAUAGACAUCUUUUAUAAUUGUGAGCACUUAUUAAGUAUGACAUCCUAAAGAGUUGAUGUUGGACAAGGAAGACAACAUAAUGGGUUAUGUUUUCUCACAUCUCAGUUAAAGUAUAUUGUAAUGGAUCAUUCAGACAUGUUGAGCUUGCCUUUCCCCUUCAUGCUAGCCAAAAAUUCCUAGCACCAAGUAGAGAUACUACUUGUGCUUCCAAAUAUCCUUAAACCCAGUUUUUGCCAUGAGAGUCCACCAUACCUACCUAUGGAUUGAGUAAGAUCCUUCAACUAAGUUGUCAUCGGUGCAAGCAAUAAAAAUUGCUCUCUAAAUAUGCAUGACUUAUUAGUGCGGAGAAAAUAAGCUUUGCACGAUCUUGUUAUGGAAGCAAUAAAAGCGACGGACUGCAUAAUAAAGAUCCAUAUACAAGGGGCAAUAUAAAGUGAUGUUCUUUCGCAUUAAGAUUUUGUGUAUCCAACCCUAAAAGCGCAUGACAACCUCUGCUUCCCUCUGCGAAGGGCCUAUCUUUUACUGUAUGCCUUUUACAUUAUGCAAGAGUCAAGGUGAUCUUCACCUUUCCCUUUUUCAUUUUAUCCUUUGGCAAGCACUCUGUGUUGGGGUGAUCCUGAUGUAUAUAUAUCCAAUUGGAUGUACGUUAGCAUGAACUAUUAUUGUUGACAUCACCCAAAGGUGAAUACGUUUGGAGGCAACAUUUUAAGCCCCUAUCUUUCUCUCUGUUUGAUUAAAACUUCAUAACCACAAGUAUUGCGUGAGUGUUAGCAAUUGUAGAAGACUAUAUGAUAGUUGAGUAUGUGAAGUUUGCUAAAUCAAAGCUCUGACAUAGACCCUUCCUGAAAAUAGGAUGAAUUGCAAUUGUUUGAUGACUAAGAAUGAAGUUUGCUAGUUUUCAAGAAAGUUUAUGGUCUAUGCUUUAACAUGUGAAUAGCUUGUUACUUGAUUAUGAAUAGUUUUAUGAGAUGAACUACUGUUAUUACAUAUAAUGAUGCUAGAAAAGGUGAUUGAAAUUAUCAUUGAUCAAACUUGUGCACCUACUAGCAUUCACACUUCAUAAAUUCUUUCCUUUAUCAUUUACCUACUCGAGGACGAGUAGGAAUUAAGCUUGGGGAUGCUGAUACGUCUCCAACGUGUCUAUAAUUUAUGAAGCAUUCAUGCUAUUUUAUUAUCUGUUUUGAAUGACUAUGGGCUUUAUUAUACACUUUUAUAUUACUUUUGGGACUAACCUAUUAACCGGAGGCCCAGCCCAUAUUGUUGUUUCAUUGCAUGUUUCAGUAUUUCGAAGAAAAGGAAUAUCAAACGGAGUCCAAACGGAAUGAAACCUUCGGCAAAAUUAUUUUUGGAACAGAACCAAUCCCAGGAACUUGGAGUGCAAGCCAGGGGAUCAUCCAGGAGGCCACGAGACAGGGAGGCGCGCCCACUCCCCCUAGGCACACCCUACCCUCUCGUGGGCCCAUAAAGGCUCCCCCGACCGACUUCUUUCGCCUAUAUAUUCCCUCGUACCCUAAAAACAUCGAUUGUCAAGAUAGAUCGGGAGUUCCGCUGCCGCAAGCCUCUGUAGCCUCCAGAAACCUCUCGGGAGCCCUUCCCGGCACCCUGCCGGAGGGGGGAUCCUUCACUGGUGGCCAUCUUCAUCAUCCCGGCACUAUCCAUGACGAGGAGGGAGUAGUUCACCCUCGGGGCUGAGGGUAUGUACCAGUAGCUAUGUGUUUGAUCUCUCUCUCUCUCUUGUGUUCUCUCUCGUGUUCCCUCUGUGGCACGAUCUUGAUGUAUCCCGAGCUUUGCUAUUAUAGUUGGAUCUUAUGAUGUUUCUCCCCCCUCUACUCUUUUGUAAUGGGUUGAGUUUUCCCCUUUGAAGUUAUUUUAUCGGAUUGAGUCUUUUAUGACUUGAGAACACUUGAUGUAUGUCUUGCCGUGAUUAUCUGUGGCGACAAUGGGAUAUCAUGUGCCACUUGAUGUAUGUUUUGGUGACCAACUUGCGGGAUCCGCCCAUGAACCUAUGCAUAGGGGUUGGCACACGUUUUCAUCUUGACUCUCCGGUAGAAACUUUGGGGCACUCUUUGAAGUACUUUGUGUUGGUUGAAUAGAUGAAUCUGAGAUUGUGUGAUGCAUAUCAUAUAAUCAUGCCCACGGAUACUUGAGGUGACAAUGGAGUAUCUAGGUGACAUUAGGGUUUUGGUUGAUUUGUAUCUUAAGGUGUUAUUCUAGUAUGAACUCUAUGAUAGAUUGAGCGGAAAGAAUAGCUUCAUGUUAUUUUACUACGAACUCUUUAAUAGAUAGAAAAGAAAGGAUAACUUUGAGGUGGUUUCAUACCCUACCAUAAUCUCUUCGUUUGUUCUCUACUAUUAGUGGCUUUGGAGUGACUCUUUGUUGCAUGUUGAGGGAUUGUUAUAUGAUCUAUUUAUGUUAUUAUUGUUGAGAGAACUUGCACUAGUGAAAGUAUGAACCUUAGGCCUUGUUUCCUACCAUUGCAAUACCGUUUAUGCUUACUUUUGUUACUUAUUACCUUGCUGUUUUUAUAAUUUCAGAUUUCAAAUACCUUUAUCUACCAUCCAUAUUGCACUUGCAUCACCAUCUCUUCACCAAACUAGUGCACCUAUACAAUUUACCAUUGUAUUGGGUGUGUUGGGGACACAAGAGACUCUUUGUUAUUUGGUUGCAGGGUUGUUUGAGAGAGACCAUCUUCAUCCUACGCCUCCUACGGAUUGAUAAACCUUAGGUCAUCCACUUGAGGGAAAUUUGCUACUGUCCUACAAACCUAUGCACUUGCAGGCCCAACAAGGUCUACAAGAAGAAGGUUGUGUAGUAGACAUCACCCGCCUCCCUCCGUUUCCCCAUUCAUACUCUAUGGGCGCGAAAACGCCCUCUCCACCAGCCGUGAAACCCCAGCCUCCUCUGUCCUCCACCCCAUAGCGGCCAAUCCACCGCCGCCCUCCUCCAUCACGCCAGAGCCGGUACCCCGACGUCGUCGUCCAACGCAACCGCAACCGCAACGCCCUCAAGGACUUAGCAGUUGAAGCCGAGGCAGAGCUGCCUCCACGACACCGACGCCGACGUGCGCCGUACCAAAACCACUCCGACCACGCUGUCCUGCGCCUCAUUGCUGCGGCUCCACUGUCGCAACCGUCCACCGCACCGGAGCUUUUCCCGCUACGCCGUCAUUCGCCGCCUUGAAUCUGCUUCCCCGCCGCCGACAGAUGGCCAGUGCACCACACUCAACAACUUGGCCAUGGGUUCGUCCAAGGCUGCACCGUCCUCUACAACUUCUGGUUUCUGGCGAACAACAAGAAGAUCGUCGGAAAAACAGGAGGACACAGCACUACCAGCAGAAAGAGGUACUCCUCUUCCCUUAUUCGUGCAAAUCUUACGUCUCCGCUCACAUCGUAUUCAUCCCACGAAAGAAACUAGUUGAGCGCUUCUUACUGCAUCUUCUUCGUGAUACUAAAUGCACAAUGUUUCCUCCCUUUUACUAUUUCACCUUUGCUAGAGGUCAGUAGCCCACCUGGAUUUCAAUUCAGGGUCAGUCGAACCACAAUUAAAAGAAGCAGCACCCGCUUAGGUGCGCGGAGCACCUAGUCCGCCUAUCCAUGGGGAAGCGGCGCAUCGGUGUGUAUCAUAGGGUUGUGGGGCGCAGGAGCUGCUUGCACCCGAUCUGGAGGUCGGUGGGGCUUGAAUGGAUGGCCGGGGGCGGUGCCAAGCAUGACGGUGCGGUGAGGUCGAGGGGAGGGCGCAAGCAGGGGAGGAAUACUAGGCUGCUGGUCACUGGCGUUUCGAGGAAGAUCGUCAACACUGACUGGCUGGAGGUAGAUGAAGGCGAUCUGUCCGUUCUUUGUACAUCGAACGGUGCAGAAAAAAUGGACUGACCUAUUUGAUUUCAGUCGACUGUUAUUUUCAUAGAAUCUUGUAGUAAUUUAGUGUGCCAUGCAUGUUGUAGAGCUAUCAUAUGUCUCCCAUCAUUUAUUUCUCACCGACCUGCUAUCUGCUACCUUUACACUGUACUAAUUGUGCACACACUUAACCCAUACUCACACUAUUGUUUUUUAUGCAUGGGUAUUUCAGACUCUGACGCAGUGUUGAUGAAUGCAGAAAAGAAAAGACAGAAGUCGCUCCAGUGUAAUUCGAAGAUAAGCACUAAGCGUUUCAGUGCUCUAAUGGGUGCAGUGUCAGCAGUUGGAGACAGUAAACGUAGCUCUGUAGUUGAUGAUCUCAAUUGCCACACACAACCAUCCUAGGUGCUUGCUUUAACUUCGCGCUGUCAAAUGUGGUUGCAUGUUUCAUAUGGUGUCUAGCUUGUAUUGCUUCCAAUUUGGUUAAAUUGCAUCUUCUUACUUUACACAUUAUACCUUUGAUAAUGGCAUGCCUUCCUGUUUUUGAUACAUACUACAUAUGUCUAUUAACCAUGUUCGUACAUCAAACUAAUGCUCUUUUGUAUCCCUCGUCAAUCACUUAUGAUGAGACAGUCACCCGAGUGGGUUACUGUGAGACGCCCUACUCGUUUAAAGAGUGCAGUGUCAUCCUCCCCACAUGAUUCUCAAGAAACAGCAAGGCUAAAUGAAGAUAGUCAACGUAGCUCUCUAGUUGAUCACCACAAUUCCCCCACACCACCAUCGCAGGUGCUUGCUCUUACUUGGCAGUGUGAUAUGUGGUUGCAUGUUGCAUAUGGUGUCUACCUUGUAAUGCUUCUAAUUAGGGUAAACUCCAUCUGCUUAGUUAACACAUUAUACCUGUGAAUAUGACAUGCCUUCCUGUUUUUGGUACAUACUACGUCUUUCUAUUAACCAUGUUCUUACAUCAAACUACUUUUCUUGUGUAUCCCUCACCAAUGCUCCUAAUUUUUUAAAUUGCAUAUCCUUAGCUUACACAUUAUACAUGUGAAUAUGACACGCCUUCCUAUUUUUGGUACAUACUACAUCUGCCUAUCACACCAUGUUCUUACAUCAAACUAUUGUUCUUGUGUAUCCUGCAUCUAUCGCUUAUGAUGAGACAGUCACACGCGUGGGUUAAUAUGAGACGCAAUACUCUUAUAAAGAAUGCAAUUUCAUCCUCUCCACAUGAUUCUCAAGAAACAGCAAGCCUAAAUGAAGAUAUUGAAUGUAGCUCUGUACCUGAAGACCGCACUUCCCCUACACCACCAUCACAGGUGCUUGCUCUAACUUUGCAGUGUGAUAUGUUGUUGCAUGUUGCAUACGGUGUCUAGCUUGUAGUGCUUCUAAUUAGUGUAAAUUGCAUCUGCUUAGUUUACACACUAUACCUGUGAAUAUGACAUGCCUUCCUAUUUUUGGUACACACUACAUCUAUGUGUUAACCUUGUUCUUACAUGAAACUACCUCUCUUCUGUAUCCUGCAUCAAUCACUUACGAUGAGUCACCUUUAUUCAUUGCAUAUUGCAUAUUAUUUCUAGCCUGUUGCCAUGUAUUGCUUCUAAUUUGGUCAAAUACAUUUGUUAGGACACCCUUUUAAUUUGGCAGAGUGAUAUUGGUUUCAUCUUUCAUAUGGUUUCUAGCUUGCAUCGAUUCUAACAAGUUCAAGCACCUUGUGCUUAGUUUACACUUUAUACAUCAUACAUGUCAAUAUGUCACGUCGUCCUGUUUUUCAUACAUAUUCCAUCCUCAUAUCAUGCGGCUGCCUUACAUGAAAGUAGUGUUCGUCAGUAUCAUGCAUUAAUGAGUUCUGAAGAGCAAAUUUUAUUCCUUUUUCUUGUGGGUUUGACUUGACAAGGCAAAAUCAAGAAAGAGGAAGGAAAAGAGUAAGGAAGGCGAUGAUGGUGGUCCUCUGCAGCAACGUAAACGGAGCAUCUGUACCGGUUCUCCUUGUAUUGAUAGUGCAUUACAAGGUCCAAGUCUCUGCUCCCCUACUCCACCAUCCAAGGUGCUUGCUCUAACUUGGCAGUGUGAUAUCUGGUUGCAUGUUGCAUAUGGUGUCUAGCUCGUAUUGCUCCUAAUUAGUGUAAACUACGUCUGCUUAGCUUACACAUGAUACAUGUGAAUAUGACAUGCUUUCCUAUUUUUGGUACAUACUAUAUCUGUCUAUCACACCAUGUUCUUACAUGAAACUACUCUUCUUGUGUAUCCUGCAUCAGUCACUUAUGCUGGGACACCUUUAAGUUGGCAGUGUGAUAUUGGUUUGCGUCUUGAAUAUGAUUUCUAGCAUGUAUUGCUUCUAGUUUGAUGAACGCCACCUAUGACGAAACAGUUUUAACUUGGCAGAGUGAUAUUGAUUGCACCUUCCAUAUGGUGUCUUGCAGUGUUUCUAAUUUUUUGAAGUGCCUUCUGCUUAGUUACCACAUCAUAGGUGUGAAUAUGUCAAGCCGUCCAUUUUUUCGUACAUAUUCCAUCCUCGUAUCAUGACUUUGCCUUUCAUCAGAGUAGUGUUCGUCAGUAUCAUUCAUGAAUGAGUUCUGAAGAGCGAAUGAUAUUCCUUUUUCUUGUCGGUAUGACCUCACAAUGCAAAAUCAAUAAAGCUGAAGGAAAUUGGAAAGGCAUUGGAUGAUGGUGGUCCUUCCGAGCAACUGAAACGGAGGUUCUCUACAGAUUCUACUCCGCCAUCCUCCCAACAAGAUUCGCAAGACAACGCAAGGCUAGAUAGUCAACGUAGCUGUGUAGAUGAUGAGUACAUCUCCCCUACUCCACCAUCACAGGUGCUUGCUCUAACUUGGCACUAUUAUAUGUGGUUGCAUGUUGUGUAUGAUGUCUAGCUUGUAUUGCUUCUAACUUUGUUGAAUUGCAUCUGCUUACUUUACACAUAAUGCCUAUGAAUAUGGCAUGUGUUCCUGUUUCUACGUCAGACUACUAUUCUUGCAUAUCCCACAUCAGUCACUUAUGAUAAGGCACCUUUAAGUCGCCACUGUGAUAUUGGUUGUGUCUUGCAUAUGAUUUCUAGCAUGUAUUGCUUCUAAUUUGUUGAAACGCCAUACAGUUUGAACUUGGCAGGGUGAUAUUGGUUGCAUCUUUCAUAUGGUGUGUAGCUUGCAGUGCUUCUAAUUUGUUAAAAUGCCUUCUGCUUAGUUACCACAUCAUAGGUGUGAAUAUGUCACACCAUCCUAUUUUUCAUACAUAUUCCAUCCUCGCAUCAUGUGUUUGCCUUUCAUCCGAGUAGUGUUCGUCGGUAUCAUGCAUGAAUGAGUUCUGAAGAGCGGAUUUUUUUCCUUUUUAUUAUUGGAUUGACUUCACAAUGCAAAAUCAUUACAGCUGAAGGAAAUUAGUCCGGCAGUGGAUGAUGGUGGUCCUUCAGAGCAACUCAAACAGGGGGCCUCUACAGAUUCUACUCCGCCAUCCUCCCAACAAGAUUCGCAAGACAACACAAGGCUAGACAGUCAACGUAGCUGUGUAGAUGAUGAGCACAUCUCCCCUACUCCACCAUCACAGGUGCUUGCUCUAACUUGGCACUAUUAUAUGUGGUUGCAUGUUGCGUAUGAUGUCUAGCUUGUAUUGCUUCUAACUUGAAUUGCAUCUGCUUACUUUACACAUAAUGCCUGUGAAUAUGACACGUGUUCCUAUUUCUAGAACAUACGUGUACAUGAUGAGCACAUCUCCCCUACUCCACCAUCACAGGUGCUUUCUCUUACUUGGAACUGUUAUAUGUGGUUGUGUUUUCCGUAUGAUGUCUAGUUUGUAUUGCUUCUGAUUAUGUUGAAUUGCAUCUGCGUAGCUUACAACUUAUACCUGCAACGAUCACUUACCCAUAAGACACAUUUAACUUGGGACUGUGAUGUAGGUUGCAUCUUGCAUUGUCUUCUAGCUUGUACUGCUUCUAAUUUCUUGAAAUGGCACUUACGACGAGACACUUUUUACCUGAUAGAGUGAUAUUGGUUGUGUGUUCAUAUGGUGCCUAGCUUUCAUUUCUUCUAAUUUUGUUGAAAUGUCUUCCGCUUACUGUUUUUUCAUACAUAUUCCAUCCUCCUAUCGUACGUGUGAAUAUGAAAUGAUGUCUUUUUUGUAUAUAUUCCAUCCUCCUAUCCUGCGCUUGCCUUACAUCAAAGUAGUGUUCGUCUGUAUCAUGCAUCAACCAGUUAUGCAGAGCUAAUUUUAUUCAUCUUCUUGUGGUUUUGACUUCAUAAGGCAAUAUCAAAAAUAGGAAGGAAAAGGGUAAGUUAGGGGAUGUUGGUGGUACUCUGCACCGACGCAAACAGAGACUCUCUAGAUUUGCCACUGCUACUGCUAAUGAAGUUGAAGUCCCAAGUCUACAUGAUGAAUUCAUCUCCCGUACUCCACCAUCACAGGCGCUUGCUCUAAGUUGACAAUAUGAUCAUUGGUUUCAUGUUGCAUAUGUUGUCUAGCCUGUAUUUCUUCUAUUUUGAUUAAAUUGCACCAGCUAAGUUUAUAUGUUAUACAUGUGCAUAUGACAUGGCUUUCUGUGUCUAGAAUACACUGCAUCUAUCUAUCAUACCAUGUUUUACAUCAAAGUACUGCCGUUGUGUAUCCCGCAUCAGUCACUCAUGAUUGGACGCUUUUAACAUGGCAGUUUGAUAGUGGUUGCAUCUUGCAUUGAUUUCUAUGUUGUACUGCUUCUAAUUUUUCGAAUUGCCACUUAUGACAAGACACUUUUAACUUGGUAGAGUAAUAUUGGUUGCAUCUUUCAUAUUGUGUCUAGCUUGCAUUACUUCUAUUUUCUUGAAAAUCCUUCUGCUUAGUUUGCACAUCGUAGCUGUGAAUAUGUCAUGUCGUCCUAUUUUUCUUACAUAUUCCAUCCUCAUACGGUUAUCUUACAUCAAAGUAUUGCUUGUCUGUAUCAUGCAUCAAUGAGUUCUGAAGAGUGAUUUUAUUCUUUUGUGUUGUGGGUAUAGCUUGACAUGGCAAAGUCAAAAAAGAGCAAGGAAAAUAAUAUAGUAGGGAGUGUUGUUACUCGUCGGGUGAAACGGAAAAGGAUCUGCCGUCGAGAUUCUGCUGGUAUUUAUAGUGCAGUAGAAGGUCCAAGUCCACCGGCUAAAUCUACAAACAUAGUAUCACCUGCUCCACCAGCUGCAGCAUCUGCUUCAACUGUACCAGCAUCUCAACCAGUUACUCGUUCGUUUGCUCCGGAACUGGCCAGUUCCCAAGCUGCCUUCACACCUAACACUACUUCUGGAGCACUGCUAACACAACAGGACUUGGCAAGAUCAGAUGAACCUCAUGAGCAUCAACACCAGGACGGUACCUGACCGAGUCAAGUUGCAGUUGCAUGCUCCUUUAUAUGUACUCUCAUAGUUUGAUGUAUGCUAACACUUUCCAUAUUCGUUGUUGAACUAGCACCACGGCGCAACCGGAAACAGACAUCAGGGAUAAUGCUUGACAGAUUAACAAAAUCUAAAGGAGGAAGAAUGGAGAUCCAUUUUGAGGUAGGUUUAAAAAGGCCACGUGAUGCUACAUAGUCAGCCAAGUUAGUAUCAGAGGCAGCCGUUGCCGUUAGGUGUCAUGCACGUAUCCUCCCAACAUGGAUCCAUUACAGGAAUGAGAAAGACAAUACCUAGUUUAACACCUUCCUUGACCAUUUAUCCGUAAGUAAUGUUAUUCAUUGCAAUUAGUAAUAUUGUCUUGCUCUGUCCCAUACUUUCUAGCUUCCUCCUAAUAAGACUCACAUUCUUUUUUCAACAGAUGAGGUUCAAGUUGGAUCCGAAAGAUGAUGCAACUAAACAAGCAUGCACUCAUGUUUUUCAGUCUACUCUGCGACAGUAUCGAUACCAAUUUAGAAAAUCUGACUUUGAAGGCAAGGCUAACAAUGAAAUCGCCCAAACAUCUCCAGUGGAAUAUAUUACAGAUGAAGACUGGACAGCCCUCGUUAAACACUGGUCUGAUCCAAAGUAUCAGGUAGGCUAUAUGCAUUUGAUCAGGCCACAUAUUGAACUUGUAUUUAUGUAUGUGCCUUACAAGUGUAUCUUGUUCUAGGCUAACUGUUUGAAGAACAAAAACAACCGUUCUAAAGUGAAAUUCCAACAGACAACAGGAUCUCAUAGCUAUAUUGCACACUGCGAGGCUCUUGUAAAUAGCUGUUACUUCCUUCUUUUUUGUGUGCCAUAUUAUCAUAUCUACAUUGAUUUGUUCCAAAUAUAAGCCCGUGCGGACCAAAAAGAACCUGAACCGAAUGCAGUGCAAAUCUUCAAGGAUUGCCACACUAGCAAGAUGAAGGGCAUGAGCACACCAGUUCAAGCCGCUGUUGUAAGUCCUUACUCCUCCUGCCUUGAACUGAUUGGUAUUGCGAUGUGUUCAUUUAACUACUUGGUUUGCAGCCAAUGUCAGUUACUCUGUUCACUUUUAUACACAGUUGUCUUAAUGUAUCAUUUCACCUUACAUGGUUUAAAAGAGAUGAAGGAUAUUCUUUUGUUCUUGAUCUGUAAUCUAGUUGUUAUGUUCACGUGCGCACACAAUGAUAAAAUAGCCUGUUUGUUUUAUAUCUGUUUGCCCAUGAUAUGAAUGAUGUCAUACUAUGUUCAUCCUACUUUAAACCAUGUCUCUUUAUCCUUAGAUGUCAACAAAUGUGAGGAAAUAGAUAAUACAGUAGGCAUGCUACAUGGACAUAUGUUCCGAAAGUGAUUUUAUUAUGUAGUUGGCACUACAAUACAUGCUAAUGCAUUACAGUAGUUCACCAAAAUAAGUUAUGUAUAAACGUUUAACCUACUUUGUUUGUUUUUGUCUCAUUAGUAAAUUAUCUGGUACACUAAUCUACAAGUUCAAACUUUCAGGAAGCUAUGGAACAAAUGAUUGAACAGCCACAACCACCUGAAGGUGACGAGGCUACUACAGGCACAAUGUCACCUCUUGCUGCAGUGCGUCGGUAUCUCUCCACUAACAGUGCAAAAAGCACCUUCCUGCGUAAUUCUGGGUUGGUUGUCAAGGUAACCUCGUCCAAAUCGCCUUCUGAACAAAAUCUUCCUGCUAGACAGAGUGAUAUAUCUGUGCUCCAGACACAAGUCCAAUCCCUAAUGGACGUUGUUUCGGAAACAAGAAUAGUGGUUGAGAAAUGUCAUCAAGAAAUGAAUGGUUUUGAAACCAGACUAUCAGACAUUCGCUUCGUUGUUCAAGAGCAAUGGCGGAACAAAGGUGGAGAUCGUGCUGCUCCAUCAGAUUCUACAGCCUGAAACAUUAGCACUCAGGUCAAAUGAUUUGUGCUUCUAUACAUCUGAUGGUGCUUUUAUUCGGAAGGACUGUAAACUUUAUGCCAAUAGGCCUUUUGUUGUAUGGUUGGAAUUUAUUUUGUUGUGAUACAACAUUUAUGAUGCUGCCACAUGUUGCAGUAAUUACGACGCUAUUUUUGUAUAGUGUAGGUUUAUCUUAGUAAUGUAUUCGGCCGAAAGCUUCGUAGCAGCCCAACAUGCCAACAUUCGUCGGGCCCAUUCCAAUUGGGCUAAAAACGAUUACGGGCCGAAAUUGGCAUGUAGCCCACUAAAAAUAUCUGGGCCAAAAUCAGCAUAAGCUUUCAUAUUUGUCCGGUAGGCCUGUGCCCAUAGUGGGCCUUUAACAGGCCUAAACAUAAUUUGGGCCCUCUGUAAAAUUAGGCCGUUUACAGGUGUAAAUAUCUCGAGCCCAUAAAAAACAUGGGCCUUUAAUAAACCGAAAGUGAGAUUGGGCCCUGAUUGUGCCAAAUAACCCACUGGACUUAGCAGGACGAAAUGGUGGCCCAUUUAUGAUGCAGAUCUUUGACAGUCCGAAAUGGUGGCCCAUUUAUGAUGUGGAUCUUUGACAGGCCAAAAUUCGGACGGGCCGUAAAUGCGCCGACCUAAUAUACGGGCCUUUAAUGGGCCGGAACUUCGGUGGGGCUAGAUUAUCGUCAUUUUUAUAUGGGCCCGAUAUGACGUUGGGCCACAUAUGGCCCAUGGUUUAUGUCCGGCGUUAACAGGCCGGAAAUGACAGUAGGCCGAAAGUGGCCCAAAUCUAUAGUGGGCCUCUAACAGGCCGAAUGUCAGACAUGGCCGAAUAUGACCCAAAUCAUUUACGGUCGUUUAUGGGCCGAAAGUUUUGAUGGCCUAUAAAUGGGCCCAAAUGAAGCCGGACCUUUAACAGGCCGGAAAUACAUCGGGCCGUAAUUCGGCCCAAUUACUUAGCGGACAGUUAACAGGCCAGAAGUGACCAUGGGCCGCGUUGAUGACAAGUUUAGUAUAGGCCGUUGACGGGCCGAUUUUACAGAGAAUGUUGGGCCUUUAGCUGGGCCGGCCCAGUAUGGUUUGCAGAAUCUUGUGGGCCUUUAGCUGGGCCGGCCCAUUGUGGUCCACAAAAUCUUGUGGGCCUUUAGCUAGGCCGGCCCAUUAUGGUCUGCAAAUUCAUGUGGGCCUUUAGCUGGGACGGCCCAUUAUGGUCCACUAAAUUUUGUGGGCCUUUAGCUGGGUCGGCCCAUUAUGGCCCGCUAAAUCUUAUGGGCCUUCAGUUGGGCCGACCCAUUUAAACUUUGUGGGCCACUUUUGGGCCGGUCCACGUGUCAACAUAUCAUAGGCCCAUCUCGAUCGUUGGAUGAGUGACACCUGUGCCAACGCAGAGCUGACGCGUGGAUCCGUCAGCCAAUGAGAAUUUUACACGUGGAAAAUCGGCAUUGGUUGUGGCUGUUAACGGGUUAUCGGAUCCAAAAUCCGACCCGAUAGCUUAACGGCGUUCCGUUACGGUGGAUGCCACGUGUCGGUCACCCUUGACAAAAGCACUUCUGUGACGCGUGAUUUAUCGUCAUGGAAGUGGACACUUCCGUGAUGAUAAUUUUGGUAAUGUCAUGGAACACUUCUAUGACAGCACAGGUAUGACUAUCUUGAUUCUGUCAUAAAUUUGUCAUGGAUGUACAUGCAUGAUAGAAAACGCGACCUACUGUGACAAACACGUAUCAUCACGGAAGUGUAUUUUUUUUGUAGUGAUAUCGGAAAGAAUACUUUCAUUCACCGACAUGUGGGACGUCGACCAUCCUGGUCCACCUGCCAUGCAAAAAAUUAUCCUGGUCUACCCCGGUCGUAUCGCAGGCCCAACCUUUCCCACUGUAAUUUGGUCGGAUGAAGGAACCAUCAUGACUUCGUUGAAUUCCGCUUCUUCAAGAAAACUUACUGUACCUGCAAUACUUCUACCACACACGAAGACUGGACGGCACUGUACCACGUCAUAUCACUGAAACCCACUAGGCAUCCUCAAAAAAAACCACUAGGCCAAACUAGCCCACCUAUAGGUCAUCUAUUUUGGAACGGAGGGAGUACGUCUCUGUACUGCUAUGAUUUUGUGUUGUACGUCUCUGUACUUUUGCUAUGAUUUUCCUACCCUAUGAACCAAAUGAGGCCUGAAUGUAUUCGUGUCGACUAAGCCUACAAUUUUAGGAGCUUGGGCUAUCGGCCGAUCAACGGCAGAUAAGUAUAAGCGUACCACGAGCUCAUUAGCCCUAACGUUUCUCUUCGGUGAGUGUUUUGCGAGUACUAUAGCUCGCACAGUAGCUAGCCUAGUAACACCAAGAAUCAUCAAACAAGCCAUGUUGAUAUGAUAAACAGUUCAAACUUACAUCUAAGCAUACCAUAUAUUACAUGAAAAGCUGGUGAGGAUACAUCUGCUUCAAUAACUCGGAGAGGGUUCGCAUGAUUCACUAUCAAACAAAAGUAGCAAGUACCUCCCACACAAGACAGUGCACUAGCCCUAAGAUGGUUUGAUAACACGCAUCAUUUUGGUAAUUAAACACGGGGCAAUGCAAACUACCCUGAAGGAUUAGCACGACCAACUAUUUCUUCUCAUCGAUCUCUCGGGCAAUGACCACAGCACGGACAGUGGCAUGGGAAUCGAUCUCUGGGGCGAUAUCCACAGGACUGACUGCGACAUCGGAAUCGAUCUCUGGGGCGAUGUCCACAGGAUGGACAGCGGCAUCGGAAUCGAUCUCCGGGGCAAUGCCAAUAGGACGGACCGCGACAUCAAAAUGAUCUCUGGAGCGUUGUCCACAGGACGGGCCGCGACAUCGGAAUCAUCAAGGACGUCCACCGGCACCUGCACAACCCUAACAUAUUAGCAAGCACAUUGGAAAUAAUCAAAAACCACAACUAUGGUAAUAAGCCAUUAUUUUUUACCUUAUGCAGCUCGCGGGGGAUCCCAUCCCUCCGGGGGCCAUCUCCUCGUCCUCGAUGGGGGCCAUCACCUUGCCAGGGGAAUACUGCUUCUCAACAGCGACUAUCUCCUCAAACUCGGCCUUGAGCCUCGCAUAGGUGGCCAUCAGAGUUUCUGGGGUAGGCAUGGUGGGGCCCUUGCUGUUCUUCCAACUUUCUUUGAGGAGUUCGUCCGCCAACGUUGUCAACUCUUUGGCCAGUGCUUGUUUCUUGGAGUUCUUCAUCUCCAUGGGUUGGCCCGCCAACAUGGUCAACUCAUUAGUCGGUGCUCGCUUCCUGGAGAUCGUUGUCUCCAGUGGGUUGUCCGCCGGCAACUCUUUUCCUAGUGCUCCAGGAUCCAUCAAUGAACUGACAAACCAAAAGCAAUCGAAAGGAAACCACAAUCGCAAUGAAAACGGGAAGGCUGUGAGAAUCGGUCGGUGCUUCGCAAAAUGAAGAUUCUUGGAAUGAAAAUAUAGCAGCAUCACUGAUUCGCCCAUCUUUCCUUCGUCGAUACAGAAGAAAAAUGGUAGAAGUGAGUAGCCUGGAGUGAUAUUUUCUUCAAGAAAGGAGAGAAAGGGCUUCAACGAGCAUUACAGUGAAAUGAUGGUUGCUUUGUCCAGUCCAACUUCGAGGCCACUUUACCACUGCUGGUAAAGGUGUGGGUUUUGUGAUAUGACAGGUCAUGACGACCACACCGAGGUGACCGGUGAGUCUCAACUAUAGCACCUCGUUGUGAUUUGGUGGAUGGCACGCGGGCCCGGAUGCUUUGAUGUCCCGCGUGUAGAUAGAGCGGCUAGUCAUAUAGGAGUGCUCAAUAUUGUGCACCGCGACCAAGGCGGAGAGGAAAAUGAGAGAACUACGUAAUUAAUGCAUGAGUUUAAUUAGGGUAGUUUUGUAAAGUACGAGAUACAUUCCUCCAAUCUAAAAAUGCCUUGGUUGAUCAGAUUUGAGAUUUGAGCCCUAUAAACCGGAAGGGAGGGAGUACUGCACGAGGUGUAGUCUAGUCACUUGUUGAAAUCUCUAGAAAGGCAAAUACUCCUUUCCGGUUUACAGGGCUAUACUAUCAAGUACUAGUACUACAAUAGUGGGCUCAAAUAGCAAUUUUGUCUCAUGCAAGAGCCUGGCUAUAUGCGUGCUCCAAGGCACCGCACCAUGCCCCACCCCUACACAAAGACUGUCACGCGAGCGUUCGCAACUGCCACGUUCGGGUUGCGCUUUGGCUCUUCGCCUCUUUGAGAAGACGAACAAUGAUGUUACUCUUACUUCUACAGUAUCGAAUGCACUGCUGCAUGUCCGUCCACCUCGUGCGGGAGGGAUAGCGUGUAGUGAAAGCUUCUACUAGUCCUGCCAGCCACCAUGCUCACGCGCGAGGGAGGGACGCAGCUUCAUUGACUUACUACUCCUGCCUUUGCGUCUAUGACAGGUGGGCCCAACAGGUGGUUGGCCCACCUGUCAUGCAGCCAAAGGCAUGUGCAAUUAAGGCACCGGAGCUCAGUCCGCGAGAGAGAGGGCGUUGUAGUAAUCAAACUUCUUGGACUUGUACGAGUUGACGUGACACAUCAAAGCACUGCACUCGAUAUAAGUCUUUUUACACAUUUCAAAUGGACUACAACAUACGGAUGUAUGUAGACAUAUUUUGCUUCGUAUGUAGUCACUCAUUGCAAUCUCUAAAAAGACUUAUAUUUGGAAAUGGAGGGAGUACAACACAUGCAUGCAUAUAUGUCGUGACUUUCCUUUUGAUACUUGCAUGUGUUGAUUUGAUGCACCUUGCCAAAUUUUGACUAUAAAUUUAACUAGCCAAAUUUUCAUGCAUGUCACAAAAAAUUACGGGGCUGCUUGGAUUGUGACUAUGUUUGUCUUAUGUUGCCACAUUAUUUUUCCCACACUUGCCACACUUGCCUAACUUGAGUUGCUCAAAUUGUUUAUACACACUUUGGCUUGCCUAAGGGAAUCUUGCCACACUUUUUGUGUCUAUGACAUAUGGGGUUCACUGCUAAUAAAAAAAUUCUUGUCUUAGGUAUGGCUAAUAAAAAAGACUUAUAUUUAGGAACAGAGCGAGUAGAAAAUAUAAAUAAUAAUGCAUGUUGGGGCAACCCACAUUUCCGAUAAUUUUAGCCGUGGGCUUGUUCACAAUUUUUAUGAGGGGGUGGUUGUUCAUUUAAUGGAGGGACUAGUACCAGACUUGAAUGAUACAAAGUGCGACCUGGCACACCGUAACACCACUUGGAACAAGCGGGUAGCUAUCUCAAAAAACAAUCAACGACUAAAAAACGGCAACCUGGCACGUAGUACACAAUUUUAAACGAUUGUUUUGAUGGAGUGAAAAAGGAAAACUACCCCAAUACGUAUAUAUAGGCCGAAGCCUUCGCGCUUGCUUGUUAGGGUUGCUCUAUUCACACACUCUCAUCCUCUCCAGAUCUAAACAAGAUAGGGGUGGUAACAUUGCCUUUCUCCCUUCAAAAAACAUUGUCUUUCUAUCAUCACGCUGGUUACAGAUCUGGACAUAUCCCCCUCCGUCGGUGAAGGGGGGAGGGGCAGCGUUUAGGCUGUCGUCGACAGCGAGGGAGGAGACCCACUAUCGGUCGCACCGUUAUCUCUGGCCGAGCGCCAGCGUGGGAGGUCCUCUGAUCCCUUCGUCGUUGCGGGUGGAUCUGGCCUCCCGCCACCCACCUAUCCACAUCCCGACGACCUUCAGGUAUAUCUUCCUUCGAAACCGCCUUAUCUCUACUUCCCCAGCUUGCUACAUCGCUGAUGUGCAUCAUUUUCUACCUCUCAGCCCCUCUCGAUCGGAUGGUCCAAUGUCACCUUUUUUUUAUUGUUAGAGGUAAAGCUACUUCAUGGAGUUGAAUCUUGUACUUGGUUCAAACAAGAAAUAAAGUGGGGGUGGGGGAAUUUAGUAUGUACAUUGGACUUGGUACAAAUAGGAAGGAAAGGGGUGAAAGUAGUACAGACUAGUCAUCCAACCGGUCUCUUGGUCGAAAAGGGAAAUAUAGGGGUAACGAUGUACACAGUGGUAUGACCAGGACUAGAUUUGCUAUCCACACAUAGGAGUAGGUGGCUAGAGUGAACAAAAAUGGGACCAACACAGAUAAGUUUCUUGGAUGUUUGUUUCUCGGGGCAACAAACUAUGAAUCACCACUUUAUGCCCCUGUUUAGGUACAUGGUGCUGGACUGCUGGUGCACCCACUGCCCCAUGCCCUUAUACCAAAUAUUUAGCUAUUCUUAAUCUAAUGCCCCUGGUAAAAUGAAGCCAUGCCACUGUUAUAAGCCAUGACAAGUUUAGCCAAAUGUUUUUGCCUGUAAUUGUUUGAGACUCUGACUGUUUCCUCUGUAGCUUUUUGUGUAAACAUGAAUAUCCAUUUCACCUGGUUGUUGUUGUGACCUUUUGGUGCACUGCACAAAACUCUUCUUAAAAGAAGUGACUUUUGUGCUGUUUAAUUGGAAUGUCAGAAUGGAACAGUUCAUUCAUUUUGGUGGAACUGCACAAAAGGAGAUUUGUGUUCCAAUCCUCAUCAUCCAUAUUGGCGCCAUAACUUUUCUUUAGGUAAGAAUGAUAUUUAAUGCAUGUGUUCAUCUCUAUUUUGUGACUGCCAUGAGAAAAUAAUGCUAUUUUUUACUAGUACACUUGUACUCCCUCACUGAAAAAAUCAAUUCUGAAAUAGAAGGCCAAUCAUGUACUUGGUUUCACCAACUGGUGAGGAGAAAGAGAAACAGAGCAUGAAGAGGAAGAAGAAGAAGAAUAAACAGUACCAAGGCGAUCUUGCUGAAGCCGGAGGCCUCAGUCGAGGCCAUUCAAGGGCUCCGGCAACGACUACCUUACAUGUGAGACGAUCCUCCAGGGAGCCCUUCCACUUCUGCUAUCUCAAUUAAUUAGGAGUACUUAAGUACCACUAAUUUAUUGCUGCCUAAUUUUCCUGUCGGAGUUAAACAAAUCUUUAGUAUCACCCUAUGUUGAAUCAUGUACGUGUGUAUGUUUGUCUAUGGAGGUGAAUCAUGUGGUGGAGCAGGGAGGGAAUAUUAUUAGUUUCAUGACAUAAUAGUGCUAUUGUUUUGCAUGUCAAUUUAUUGCCAUCGGUUCAAUGAGGUAAUGUUUUGCGUAUUGUCCAUCAUGAAUUUGAUGCUACUGUUAGAGUAAUAUGCUAAUGUCUUUCUAUCCUUUCUCACUAAGCUAAUGAAGGUUUCACCUUGUUCCUACUUGUGCAAACAGGGAUCAUGUUAUGCCAAUCAUACAUUUUAGUGGAACUACAUAAGACAAUACAAUGAACUGUAUCCCAGCCAGUGCUUUAACUCUGCUGGAAGUUCUUGAUAAUCUUUCGAUAUAAUCUCAGCACUGGUAAACAAGAGUGAUUUCAACCAUACAUUUGAAGUGCACAAAAAUAUAUACUAUUGAGUGAUUCCAGUGAGUGCUUUAUCAUCUCUUAUGGGACUACAUGAAUAAGCUUUUUUCCUCAGGUUGGUACGGGCCUAAGGCCUUCAUCCAUAUUAGUUUGUUGUCAUCUCUAUUUGUAUUGUGCUACUGUCAUGAGAAACUCCUUUAUCUUUGCACGUUAAAGUUUUGCAACCUAUGAUACAUGGAAAUGCUUUGAGUGUUGAGCUAAUUGGCACUGAUUAAAUAAACUAAUACCUCUCUUUAAGCAAGACUACUAUGUUGCUAACUUUACCCAUUAAGAUAAUGAGGGUGCUUCUAUUUUUUAGUGUAUGUUUCAUCAACUAGUCCCACUAUUACAGUAAUCUCACUCUCUCAAUAUAUGUGCCAACAGGGUUGCUCGAUUUUGGUGGAAUUGCACAAAAACUUUGGGUGCUUCAUUGCCUCGACAGCUUCCGUCCUUUCUGUUGUCGCUAAUCUGGGCCUGCUUUCUUCCUUUGAUGUCAGUCGCUUCGCUUAUCUCGGCUUCGAGUCAAAGGAAAUAGUAAUUGAUAUGCUACCUCACACAGGUUGGUACUGGUCUUUAUCCUGAUUAUUGUGCUUGUCAUGUAUUGGUAAUUUGCUAUUGUGCUACUGUUUGCUAAUUUUUAAAGGAGUAACUUGGAGCGUGAACUCGCAGGCAAAUCAUUGCAUUGGGUGAUUUCAGUAGAACUGCACAAAAAGAUUAGAUGGACAGAUACUCCAAAGUUCACUCAGACAAGCAUCAAUGUUGACAAGAAGUGCCUAUAUUCAUUCAAGUAUCAACCGGCGUCAACCAGUUGUCAAAAUCCAAGUAUUAGGAGAGUGAACGCCAAAAAUAUUGCUUGGCGCAUAGCCCAGAAAAACACAGUCCAGUCUUUGGUCCCAACUUGUGCCUUUUGGUUAUCGACAGAUAUGGUAGCGAACUGUAUGGCAUGGAGUCUAAAGAUUCCAGACAAGUUGGUUGACGCAUAUAUUCAUCUGGCACUUAAUCAGUCUGCAUGCCAGGGAUGCUCCAUUUCAGUUGAACUGCACAAAAAAAUUGGGUGGUUCAUUUUCUCAACCGCCUCCUUUCUUCUCUGCAAAUGUAGAAUUUUGGCCAGCUACACGACCAAGAUGAGCCAGUAAACUAGUUGGAUGAAAGUAGUGGCCAAGUUGCUCAAACCUCCCUCAGCACAAGGCCGCUAUUUGAGGAUAAACCUACAAGCAAAGUUCAGAUUGUCUGUGCUGCCUCUUAUGUACUCGAAAGUUUACUCGUACAAGCAUUAAUUUUAGCAAGAAGUACCUCCGACUGAACGCCAUUUACCAGUCUGUACCCUAGGUAAUUAAAGUUAGUCCAUGGAUCAUAUUGGCUGUGAUCUCAAUCAUUUGGAUGCAUAAACAUACUGAACAUGUGGAUAUCUAAAUCUUUUUGUGAAUUAUCGAUGAAUAUUGUCAUGUGAUCUAUCAAUCAUUGGAUGCAUAGACAUGUUGAACUUGUGUAUAUAUGAAUCUUUUGAGUUGUUGAUAGUGAAUGUUGGCUAUGAAUAUGAACGUGUCCUGUGAACCUGAGUUUGAUACGAAUGUUUACCUUUUUUGUUGUACUUGUGUGUGAACUUGUUAGUAUGCCUACUGUGGGGUAUGUGACAUGUGGGUGUCAACGGCACACCUUCUUCCCGAGAAGAAUUGCACCUGCUUUGUUAGGAUAGCAAUGGCGCAUCAACUCUUUUUAAUCUUUUUGCUCUGUCUUCCCCCCUCCCCCACUCAACCCCUGCCGUAAUGUUUUCGGCCUCAAAACAAACAUAGUACUGCGUUGUUUUGGGGGCUUGAUGAAAAAUCGAGUGUUGGUUUCUGUAGGUUGGCCCGCCCAGCAAAUGGGUUGCUGGUCCACCACGGGUUGGGAGGCUAAAAAUACAAGUUGUAUGGUGCAGAGGCAAGUAAAAAAACGCCAUCGAGAGCCAUCCACUGAAGAAGAAAAAAUCGCUCCUGAUGUGCUUCUUAAAUCGUGCCGCCGGCCCCCUCUUUAAUCCAGUUCACUCGGGGAUCUGGUAUCAUUUUUUUCCAGAGGGCGAACAAGUAUCAGCUAGGUCUAGGUUUUGUAUUUUAACAUGCGUAGCCCACGACAUACAGAGACAGUGGUUUCAACUUAUUUUUUAAGGUCCAUACCGGCCUAUGGGAUUUUUCUAAAAUAUCGCCAGCCCAAUGUAUUUUUUAAUAAAACACGGGUCUAUGUUCUAUUUAUCUAUAUAUAAGAAUAAUAAUGUUGUGUCCAAUUUAUGUUUUCCCUUCUAACCGCAUUAUAUAUAUUUAUAUUAUUACUAUUAUCGUAUAUUUUAUAGAGACUUAUAUAUACAUUAUAAAAACAUCCCACGUGUUAUUAACCUAUAAAAGUAAAUGUUUAACAGAAGUUGGCAAGGAAAAUCCUGGUUGUUUUUGACUCACGGGCAAGGAAAAUCCUGGUGAUUGCGUACAAAAGCAUGCGAAGAUUUUAAGGACCAAUGUAAUAAUAAUGCGCUCAUUUUUAUUUUGAGCAAUAACUCGCUAAUUUGUUAAUUAUAUAUAAAAAAUGUGUCUCUCCGAUUUAUUUUUUGAUAUUAAUUGCUCCUUCUAACAUAACAUUAUAUAUAUAAUGAGCCCAGCUAAUUCGUGUAUUUCAAGGAAGUGCAAAUGGGCUAGGAUUUCUUAGAAAAUAUAAAUGGGCCGCAUUGACGCGAAAUUAUUUGUUUACCCAGCCCAGCAAAUGGACUGUACAUUCUAGAAAACAUGGGUUAAAUAUAUGCCACAUUUUUGCAGGCUGACAUGUGGGCCAAUAGGUCGAAGCCUAUGCAGGGCGUUGUCAACUUGCUCAACAAAUGAUUAUGACAUCCACAGCCAUUGGAUUUAUAUCCAACGGCUGGCAUGUAACUUCAAUCUCUCGUCUUCUUCCUCCAGCGUCGCCAGGACCGCCUGGUCCGGCCUCCGGCGGCUAGCGGCUCUGCUUAGCAUGCAUCGCUGCGAAGCGCUACCCCACCACCGGCCAGGCUAUCCCUCCACCCAUCCACACCUCCUGUUAUUCUCCACCGACUGCAGCCCCACGCCGCACCAGAACCAGUUUUAUAACCCUUCUCCUCCUCUCAAUCUACGACUCCACUGCCGCGUCUUCCCAUCUCCGAGUCGUUCCCGUCCGGGUCCUCGCCGUCGUCCACCACCUUGCUGCGCUGGUGCAGCAUGGUCAACACGAGAGUCAGCGGAAGAGGACUGUACGUGGAGAGCCUGACGGCUGGGACCCACGAGGUCCAUGGUCGCACGCAAGGAAAGUUCCUCCUUAUUAAGCUGAAAAAAAUGUUUCCUCCACCUGACAGCUGGAACCCACCGGCUGUAUCUUCGCACGGAAGGAAGUGCCUCCUUGUUAUGCGAAAAAAAUCAUUCCUCCCCUUGACAGUUGGGACACGUCAGAUUUGGUGGCUGACUUGUGGGCCUACUAAGCGGACGUGUACGCGGGGCUUUGUCAACUUAAUCAACAAAUGAUUCUAGCAGCUGGACCGUUGGAUGUUAAUCCAACAGCCGUGCUCCUUCUUCAACCUCUGCUCUUGCUCAUGUCUCCCGUGGGCGGCACCGCGGCUGUGCUGCCGCACCCGAACCAGUCAAGUUUCCCACUCCUCUCCAUCUGCGACUCCACUGCCCCGUCUACCCCAUCUCCGGGUCGUUCCAGUCUGGGGCCUCGCCUUCGUCCAUCGGCCUUGGUGCGCUCGGCACGGUGUGGUCAACAACCGAGAGUCAUCGGAAGAUGACUGUACUUGAGAGGCUGACACUGGGGACGCACCACGCCCAUGGACGCAUGCAUGCAACGGAACGCGGCGUGGUCAAUGUGGUCAAGGAACGACUUCCAUCAGAAGUGUACUAUACGUGGAGAGGCUGACAGCUGGGUCCACGGCGACCGCAAGGAGGUGCCUCCUUAUUACGCGCAAAAUAACUAUUGCUCCACCUGACAGCAGGGACCCACCAGACGGGCCACCGUAUUUCACGAAAAAAAUGUUUCCCCCUGACUGCUAGGACCCACCAGCUACAUCUUCGCACGCAAGGAAGUGCGUUCGGGCAAAGAAAAACGAUUCGCCCCCCCUGACUGCUGGGACCCACCAUCUACAUCUUCGCACGCAAGGAAGUGCCUGACAGUCGGGACCCACCUGGUCGAAGCGUAAAUAACGUUGUCAUUCUGGUCGCAAAUGUGUACGUACAUAUUGGUGGAUGUAGAGGCGUGCACGUGUCGUAGUAGAGGCGCGCAUGUAGCAUGUACACGUACGUACAGCGGCCAGUGUGCAAGAAAGAAAAUACGGUCACGUACAUACAUAUGGGCGGGAUCUCGAACGCCUACGCGCACAUACGUACGGCUAGGGCUCGUGUACAUGGCUGGGUCAGAACGGAGAAACAGCGUCGUCAUCGUGUUCAAGGGGAGCCAACCAGCUGGGUCGGAACAGAAUGCGUCGUCAUGUUCAUCAGGAGGGCUUGGACGGAACAUCCGAUGAAAACGAGGCCUGGCGUACCGCACAACGGAUGAAACGACCUUGUGUUCGACCGGCCACGUUCAAAACGGGAUCCUGUUCAUUGGGAGGGGUCUGGCAUAUCGCAAAACGGAGGAAACGGACUUGUGUUUGACCUCCUACGGUCGAAACGAGGUCAUGUUGAUCGGGAGGGGUGUGGCGUACCGCAAAACGGAGGAAACGGACUUGUGUUGGAGCGCUAUGGUCGAAACGGGGGUCCUAUUCAUCGGGAGGGGUGUGGCGUACCGCAAAACGGGACUCCACGGGAUACUGUCCAUCUCCACCGUCGACCUCCUCCAGCCUCCACGGGCUACUGUUCAUCCACCAUCGACCUCCACCUGCGACUGUUCAUCCAGCCUCCAUCGCGCGCUACUCCACCGGCUACUAUUCAAUCAGCCCUCUCCACGGGCUCCUGUUCAACCACCCCUCCACGGGCUACUGUUCAUCCAGCCCUCCACCGUCUACUAUUCAUCUAGCCCUCCACGGGGUCGUCCUAUUCAUCCAGCCCUCCAUGGGGUCCUGUUCAUCCAGCCCCAACCGGCUUGAUCGAUCGGGGUCCUGUUCAUCCAGAGGCAACACCACGGGGUCCUGUUCAUCCAUCCCCACCGGGAACUGUUCAUCCAAACCCCCCCAGCAACGCUCACUGUUCAUCCAGAGGCAGCAUCGAUCGGCUUCAAUUAACAGCAGUAGCGAAGGAAUCGCUCGAUCGGGUUCAGUUAACAGCCAUCGAUCGAUCACUCGGGUUCAGUAAUGCGUAGCCUGCAGUGCAAUCGCUCGGGUUCAGUAGGUGAACGCCUUGCUCGGGUUCAGUUAGAGCCCAACGCCUCGCACCCACGCGCGUGCGUGUACGAGAGAAACGCGCAAACCUUCGUGCAUCGCUCGGCCCCGACCACCCACCGUAACCGAGAACACCCCGAUAUUUUCCUCGCCCUCGCUUCUACCACGGUUUUUUCCGUCAUGUACAGCCCAAAGAAUGUCAUGUAGCUGCGUCUCCGGGCCGCCUAGGACGAAAAGCCCAUUUUCUAUCAUGAUUUUUUGUCAUAGAAGUAGGAGCCCACCACAUCUAUGAUGAUACCGGAUUUUGUCACAAUUAUUGUCAUAGAAGUGUCAUACGUAUGACAGGAAAAAAUUCGUUCGGUCCAAAAUGUCACGGAUGUGUCUUUUUUUGUAGUGCUAACAUUUGCUCAAAAGUUGGAAGCAAGAGUUUCAGAUUUCUAAUGUUAUCCAGGUCAUGUUCCAUAAAAGGAAUUAUGUCAUCUUCAUAUACAAGAUUGAGAGGGCCCCAUCCACCAUAUGUGGCACUGCUACUACAAUUUGGUCGUCCUGUUUGGCCCGCUCUAUCAAAGUUGGAGAUAAUACGUCACCUUGGCAUAGACUUUUUUUCUUUUAUAGGUAAUGGUCUAUGACAGCAUUGAUAGCCACACAUCCUAUAGUAACAAAAGUUUGGAUCCACUCAUGCCAUCUAUUGGAGAAACCUUUCAUUCUCAGAGCAUGUUGGGGAAACGACCAUUUUACUUUAUCAUAAGCCUUUUCAAAGUCAAUUUUGAAACUCUAAUCAUAUUUUUACGGUGCAUUGCGUGGAUGGUCUCAUGAAGGAUUACUACUCAUCUAGUAUAUUUCUUCCUUGCAUGAAAAUCGUUUAAGAUGGUCAAACAACAUGGUCAACAAUGGCAUUGAGCCUAUUAGUAGUCACUUUGAUGAAUAUUUUGAAACUAACAUUAAAGAGGUAUAUGGGUUUGUAUUUCUUGAUCCACUCAGUAUCCUUGGUCUUUGGCAACAAAACAAUUUCACCGAAAGUGAGCCUGGAUAGGUCAAGUUGGCCAGUAUGAAAAGAAUAGAAUGGCUCCAUUAGGUCAGUCUUGAUGGCAUCCCAGAAGUUCUAGUAGAACUCUGCUCGGAUGCCAUAGGACUUGGAGCCUUGUCAUAUUCCAUCUGGAAUGCCACAUCUCCCACCUCCUCUUUUGGUAAAGGUGUCGUAAGGAUAUUGUUCUCGUCUAUUGUCACUUAUCAAAUGUCAUAUGUUUGAUUCUCAUUGAAGGUGAAGUCUACUUCCAUUGGAACCUCGACUGGAGGUACUUGGUUAUGAAACGCUUGAGAUCUGCCUAGCCCUCGACCCGUCCAUCACUCUAUUGGAGGCUAAAAAUACACUUCUUCAUGUGCCACCCAUUGGCAACCACGUGGAAAUUUAUGUAUUGUUGUCUCCCUCCAAAAUGAAUUGGGCUUUGGAUCUUUUGUGAUUUUAUAUGUGAGAUCAUCAAUAAUCAUGGAAAGGUGCUGCUUUUAUUUUUUUUAUAUAAAUACCACUGGCGUAUUUCGUCCAUUCCGAUAGAAGAGGAAAUUAAUAAGCUUCUGAGGUUGAUUAGUGGAGCAGAGAUCUUUCCACUCGUGAAAUUGCAUAGGUCUAACCAAUUGGCCACAAGUUAGAACAUGCAUUGAUCGAUGGAUCGAUCAUUAUACUUUAAUUGGAUGUAGCUGGAAUUUCCUCGGACGCAUGGCCGCAUGGGAACAUGAAUAUACUCUAGGUCAGGUAUCGGAUCGUCGACAUGCAUCUUUCUUAUUGAGAUCAAGUUGAGAGAGCAGGUAGGUCCCUGAAAUGGACAUGCAGGACUUGAUAUGUCCUUUGUUGAACUUGCCUUAUUAAAUAGCCGAGGUAGUGGCUCAUUUUUCGAGGGAGCUGGUCAAGCAAGCAGAAGGACUAUAGUGGAACUUUAGACUAGCCACAAUGGGAGUAACUUCAGCAGUAACAUCGAGCCCAACUCAACAAAUUUGCUUAUGUGGCAAUGAGUUAAUGAGGAGAGAGGUAGUUUCAGCAACUUAGCUAGUUACUGUAAUAUCACAUGUCCCAAUGCAAUAUGAGUCUAUAACCUAAUAAAUAAAGCUUUGCAUGACAUCACACUUAUGUUACUACCCACUAUGAAGGUAGUAACGUACUCUAGGGAUAUGCGUAUGUUACUAGUGUAUGUUACAAUCCACUGUGGCUAGUCUUUGCGUAGAUGGUAGUGUUUGCACUCGAAGCAACUUAGGCUAGGUAAACCAAUGGUCAAUGCAAUGCUACGUCUACGUAGGAAGUUACAAAACUUUUACGUAAUAAGCCAGUUGGCAGAAUGUGAUUGGGAUUAGAGGAGAGGAGGGGCCCACCCCACUGAAAAUCAGGGGGCAGAGAAUUAGUUAAGGGAAGUUAUGUAGCCCCUUCGUAACCCCUCUGGAGGUCUAGGAUUUAUUGCGUGCAUACAUAUGUUACAAUUGCAAUGGAGUAAAUGGACAUAUUAUACUACUCAAUUAGGGCACCUCUAAGGCGGACAAACAAACCUCCCAUAACCGUCCGGACACACUUGUCCGGACCUCGUAAGCCAUCCAAUGGCGAUCUCCAUCGGUCCGCGGAAUGAUCCGAAGCGCAAUUUUUUCACAAACCGGAACUAAACGAGGGGGGCUUUGCAGAAGUCCGGACACAAGCCACAUAGGACUCCGAAACCAUGGCCCACCAAAAACUGAGGCGGAGCCCGUGAUUUGUAGCUGGCCGCACUCUUUCAAUGGUAAAAUGCCCCCACUUUCCUCUUCCAUCCAGCCGCUCUCCCCCUAAUUUUGUUCUUUCUUUCCAUCACCGAUGCAUGCAUGGACCCGAGGGAGAAGUUGCCAGAGACGGCGGUGGUGAAGGAUCCAGCGAUCACACUCGCCGGAAUGAUCAACUUGGAGACACGGCAAAAUCGUUGCCUCAAAGCAAAGGCAAAGGUGGUGCCGCUCAAGAAGCAGAAGGUCGGCUGAGGCCGAGAUGGAGGGCAGAGCCUAAGACGUGGGGGCCGCUGCCGUUGCCGGCCGUGCAGACACCGCCAUGGCCGGAGCAUUACAAGGCUUUGUACUACUACACCUCCAAGCAGCUUGGUAGGUAGUCACCGGCAUCCGCCGCCAGGCAAGUGCCCUUCGUCGAUGUCGUCAAUGCGAUGUCGCAGCUUGUCUCAGAGUGUUCAUCAUCGCAGCUAGUCCGGGUGCAGACGUCGGGCAUGGAGCAGCUGGGUGUCUGCAUGUUGUUCACUUAUAUGCCUAAAGCGGGCGAGCCGGUAUAUGACGAAGCAUACAGGAGGAUGUUUGACAUCAUCCAUGAUAGAGGUAGGGAAGAAGGUUUCUACUAGGAUGGGCAUGUGGAUGACUAGGAGCCCGCCCAGACCGGCUCAUACACCCAGCUGGGCUCGUAGCAGGGCUACACCUAGUCCGGCAUGUACACCCAGCAGGGCACGCAACCGGGAUACACCCAGUUCGGCACGUACACCCAGCCGGGAACAGACACACAACAACAUGAUUGGGCCGCCGAACAAUAGGAGUAGGAGGAGAAUGGAUACGACGAUGAUCCCGAUGAAUUUGUUGCCGAUCCAAAAAGAGGGGUAGAGAAGAAAGCUUCAACAUACGAGAGGACGAGUUGUUGUGUAAUGCAUGAUUGGGCACGGAGCAAAAUGGCACAAUAGUUUGGGCCAACAUUCACUCUUGGUUCCAUGAACACAAGCAUUUCCAUCCCUACGCCGAUGCGCUCAUCCGCAACCGUGGCGCAAAGUCUCUCAACCAUCAUGUUGGGGAACGUUGCAUGAAAACAAAAAAAUUCCUACGCCCAUGCAAGAUCUAUCAAGGAGAUGCAUAGCAACGAGAGGGGAGAGUGUGUCUACGUACCCUCGUAGACCAUAAGCGGAAGCUUUUAGUAAUGCAGUUGAUGUAGUCGAACUUCUUCGCGCACCAACCGACCAAGUACCGAACGUACGGCACCUUCGAGUUCUGCACACGUUCAACUCGGUGACAUCCUCGCCUUCUUGAUCCAGCGAGAUGGGCGAAGUAGUAGAUGAGUUCCAGCAGCAUGACGGCAUGGUGGCGGUGAUGGUGAAGUUAUCUCUGCAGGGCUUCGCCUAAGCACUACGAAAAUAUGACCGAUGGACAAACUAGAGGGAGAGGGGCACCGCACACUGCUAGGGAAUCGUGGUGUGUGUUUCCCCUCUCCUUCCUCUCAUAUAUAUAGGUGGAGGGGGAGAGAAGGCAGCCCCUAGGGCGCCCCAAGUGGCUGGCGGCUUCCCUAGAGCGCCUGUUCUGGCCGAAUCCCCCUUUUUCAUAUUUGUGUAUGGGGGAAGGAAAGGGGGGUUGGCUGCCUUUGGGGCGCCUUCCCCUUCCUUCCCUCCCUUUUUGGUACGUGGGAAAGGGGUAGAAGGGGCGCACCAGCCCCUUGUGGGCUGGUGUGCUUCUCCCCCUUUGGCCCAUAAGGCCCAUACACUUGUCGGGGAUGUUCGGAACCCCUUCCGGUGCCCCGAUGACUACCCGGUGCACUCUAAAACUCUUCCGGUGGUCGAACACCAUUUUCCUAUAUAUCAAUCUUUACCUCUCGACCAUUUCGAGACUCCUCGUCAUGUCCGUGAUCUCAUCUGGGACUCCGACAACAUUCGGUCACCAAAUCAUAUAACUCAUAUAACACUAUAUCAGCAACGAACGUUAAGCGUGCGGAGCGUACGGGUUCGAGAACUAUGUAUACAUGACCGAGACACCUCUCCAGUCAAUAAAAAAAUGCAAAACCUGGAUGCCCAUAUUGGUUCCUACAUAUUCUACGAAGAUCUUUAUCGGUCGAACCGUUAUGCCAACAUACGUAAUUCCCUUUGUCCAUCGGUAUGUUACUUGCCCGAGAUUCGAUCGUCGGUAUCUCUAUACCUAGUUCAAUCUCGUUACCGGCAAGUCGUUUUACUCAUUCCAUAAUACAUCACCCCGUAACUAACUCCUUAGUCAUUUGCUUGCAAUCUUAUGAUGUGUAUUACCGAGAGAGCACAGAGAUACCUCUCCGAAACCGGAGUGACAAAUCCUAAUCUUGAUCUAUGCCAACUCAACAUACACCUUCGGAGAUACCUGUAGAGCAUCUUUAUGAUCACCCAGUUACGUUGUGACGUUUGAUAGCACACAAGAUAUUCAUCCGGUAUCCGGGAGUUGCAUAAUCUCAUAGUCGAAGGAAUAUGUAUUUGACAUGAAGGAAGCAAUAGCAAUAAACUGAACGAUCAUUAUGCUAAGCUAACGGGUGGGUCUUGUCCAUCACAUCAUUCUCCUAAUGAUGUGAUACCAUUAUCAAAUGACAACACAUGUCUAUGGUUAGGAAACCUUAAUCAUCUUUGAUCGACGAGCUAGUCUAGUAGAGGCAUACUAGGGACACAGUAUUUAUGUAUUCAUACAUGUAUUUAAGUUUCUGAUCAAUACAAUUCUAGCAUGAAUAAUAAACCUUUAUCAUGAAUAAGGAAAUAUAAAAUAACUACUUUAUUAUUGCCUUUAGGGCAUAUUUCCUUCACAUCGAUGGUACAUCAUCUAAGAGGCCGUGUAGAAGUAUUGAGCCACUUGAGGCAACUAUCGCACGGCAGCCAAGUAGUGCGCAAAUCGUCAAGUGAGUAAGUUCAUCAUUUGGCCGGAAAUGCAUUGUUCUGUAGACCACUUGGGCAGAUAUGCAUUGUUUUAAAGAUCAAUUGGCCGGAUAGCAUUGUUUUAUGGAUCAUUUGGUCGGAUAUGCAUUGUUUUGUAGAUCAUUUGGCCGGAUAUGCAUUGUUAACAAUGUUUUAUUUUAUAGCCUUCCCAUGCGUGUAGUGUGCUCUUGAAGUUGGAGAAGAAAAACUUCACCAUCAUGCAUUGUUGAUUGAAAUUGAAUGGACAACCCAAGUGAAAUCUAUACAUUACCAAGACCAUCGCCCAUGGCACCGAGGAAGAAACCGGUGCUCCAACCGACCCAACAAAAGAACCGCCCAAGAAGUUUAGAAGAGGGUUUCAUCGAAAGAAGUGGGAGAGGGAAAGGGCGAAGCAAGAGGGGCGGCGCCCAAGAAGUUUAGAAAAGGGUUUCAUCGAAAGAAGUGGGAGAGGGAGAGGGCGAAGCAAGAGGGAUGGCGCCCAAGAAGUUUAGAAGAGGGUUUCAUCGAAAGAAGUGGGAGAGGGAGAGGGCGAAGCAAGAGGGGAGGCGCCCAAGAUGAUGGAGAGGUUCAAGGACAUCUUGUCGAAGGAGGAGGCAUACGUCAAGCGCUCUGACGUCAAGGAGGAAAAAAGGCGGAGAGGUUUAACAUGUUGCUGGCAGCGACCAACAAGAAGCUCAAGGUCGAAGAGAAGAAGAUCAUGCUCAAAGAGAGAAAGGUUGAGAUUGCAGCCGCUUCAGAGGAUACGAAGAUGUUGACCUUGAAGAUGGGGGAUUUAGAUGACGACGCAAGGAUGAUCGUGCAAGCCGUCCUUUCAAUAUGUUGAAGCGACGGAAGGAAGAGUUGGAGGCGCCAGAAAAGGAGGUGGCCGAGACGGCGGAGGAGGCAGAGGCAGCGGCGGACUGAGUGUGGAGGCUCAGAUUGCAUGUCCAGCAGAGGAGAAGAUUCAUAUUUUUUUUGCAUGAAUUGUCGGACUGAUAUUUUUUUUGGUUGUGCGCAGGGUUGAUUUGACCAGGUGUGCGCUAUAUGAUCAGACAGAUUUGAAUUUGAAAUUAAUCAUACUGGCGGACAUUUGGGAGAAUAGCGUUAGAUGGUUGGCUCCCGUAUCAUAGACUGGUCUCCUCUGUCCACGGUUCACGGACGAUGCGAUUUGGAGGUCGGGUUGGAGAUGCCCUUAGUACUACUAGUACUAGUUGAUAGACUCUGGUACUCUAUAUUUGUGCGUUCGAUUGCAAGGUUCAGGCAUGCCUGCCUGACUGAAUGUGUCGCCAUCACGUUUAUUUACGUCCCCGGUCACACUCAGGUUAGCUGAUCGAGUUAGCAAUGGUGAACACGUGCGUACGUAUGUGUAUGUUGCGACAGCCUGCUGAGCGAAUCGUGGGCCAACACGUACGUAGGUAGGCUCAUGGCGACCGUAUGUUUGUACGUAGUACCAUGGAGAGUCGGUGGUCUGCAUCACCGGCCAAUAAGUAGAUGAUUCGUCAACGUGAAGCAGGACAUUCGUAAAGAAUACACAAUGCAGAAUAAGGGAAAGAAGGGUGGCCCAGACAACACCCACUGCACAAUAGAAUAGAAUAGAAUAGAAUAGAAUACAGUAGAGGCUGAUCGACCAAUGGCGGAGCGACACGUGCGUGCGCACACUGUGAUAAUGAUCAUUGUGUCCGGGUAUUGAGUUAUGCACAAAGAAAGUAAAUGAAGACGGAGGGACAGGAAACCGACAUCUUCCUCCACGGCCACAUUUCCGGAGACUGCAGACCGACAGCAGCAACUCGCUACGAGUGUAUACAUCCGGCUGGCAACUAGCAAACCUACUUAGCUAUCGCUACGCUUAGAUUUACUCUACUGAUGCUGAAUGUACGCAAAGUUCGGACUCUUAAUACUUCAUUUUGAGCUAACAAAUCUCAGGCCCGGGGUUACAGGAGCUAGCACUGUGCACUGAUCCAGUGAACACACACUAGAAAGAUGGAGAGAUGGUAUUGCGACGUGGCCUCUUGUCCAGCAACGGCCGUAACAAAGCCGCUCACUGCAACUGCACCGCUGCUUUAUGGUUUCCCAACGCAGAUGAUAGAUAGAUAUAUGUGUGGGGUGCUUUGAGACCAGUAGACUAGUCUGCAUAAAGAAGAACAAACGGAGGAAAGAGAGAUACCUGCUUUGCUCGUCAAAGCUCAGUCUUGGACCGAGACCGUCCGUCCAUCAUCAGUACUAGUAGAGCACCACCACCACGGGUAGAAUAUGCUGCUGCUUUUCAACAUUCGCAUGUAUAACAAAAACUGACUACCACAUCAAGAAUGGUUCCAACUUACACGAUAAAUUCUUAUUUACUUACACAAACAUUGAUUGAAGAAGUAUAUGACAAUAUAUAUACAUAUUGGACACACAUGCACCACCAACUGAUAUAUCAAAAGGUAGGCAAGGCUAAGCACAUCCACUCAUCAAGAGAGGAGCUCCUUCCUAACUCCAUAAUUUAUUAACUCGAAAAAAAAAAACUCGAUGAUUUAAACCACAGAUGCAAAACAGCCCAACAAAGCUCACAAAAUGCAGAAGAAACAUAUUUCACAUAACAAGAGUAUCAAGCCCUAGGAGGACUAUGAGGUUUCCUACCAGCCCAAGACCGAAUUCAGUCACUUGAUACAUCAUCAUCACCAUAAUACAGUCAUCAAAUCUAUAGACUAAACUAGCAAUUAAGGAUCAACAUCCAUACUAUAUCAUGCUCAGCACACGCACAAAAUGUUUCACCGAGCACUAAACACAACCAUCUAGCCAACCAAACAGCCCGCAAGGCUCACCCGAGCACCUCUUGCGGCAAAAUUCUCCCCUAUCAUCAACUAGCAACACAAAUCUUGGAAUCGCCGAACCGGAAAUAAAAUUACAGCAGGCACCCUCCUUUCACCACCACCACCACCCUGGAAGAAAACUCAGGCUCCGGGACAGACAUGGAGGCCUCUGGAGGCCUAAUCGACCAUCAAACUGGAUUAGCAAUGCGGUGCACAAUCACAGAGCAC